This 76231-nucleotide long non-coding RNA is filed under the name Coffea arabica (coffee). Its description in RNAcentral is "long non-coding RNA (CARA_LNC007299)". The record is from RNAcentral. Lineage: Eukaryota; Viridiplantae; Streptophyta; Magnoliopsida; Gentianales; Rubiaceae.
UCAACGCUGGUUAGAACAAUAUAAUCCACUCUGCAAGAUAAAACCUUUUGCAGUUCAAUCAAUCAAAUUUUAUGUUGACUGCAACAGGAGUCAAAAGGUAUGAUAUCAUUAAUUCAUUAUGCUCCGGAUGGAACUAGUAGAAAAAUUAGAUGUUUUCGAAGUUUUAAGAUGUCAACAUUGGUGCUAUUUUUUGUGUUUCAUAACAAAUUCAGAGUUAGCAAGCCAAUCUACGAACAAUCAUUUACACACGGUUUGUGCCUCUAACAUGUAUUCAAUCUUCAAGAAGACUCAGCUCUUUCAGUCCUCAUAAUACUGCUGCCAUAAGAAGCCAUCAUACCGCACAAAGUAAGAAUUGUACAUUAAACCAAUCUAUGUAGUCUGCACAGUAUUUUCAUUAUCAAUCCAAUCCAUUUAAUCAUAGAGUUAUUUCCUGCCAAAUAAAUCAUCAUAUUUAAACAAAUGCUCAUCAUGUUUCUAAGAAGUUCUGCACAACUUCACUUUUGUGUUUCUCCCUGAUAAAGUUCCGGGCUCAGCAAGCUUGAAAUAGACCACCUAUCACUAGAUGCUUUUCUUUUCUAUUCUUUCCUCAUUAUCUAUCAGUAACCAUACCAUAGCAUUUCUUAGCAAUUAAUCACAGGUUUCCAACAACUAAAUGAAUCAAACAGUCAUGAAAUCAGCACCUACCAUGUAAAGAUUUUGGAAAUUAUAAUAAUCUAACAACAAAAAUGGGGAAAGAACGUGUUUAGAUAGAUACCCCCAGCUAGCAAUAGCCUUGGCAGUGUUGUAAGGCUCCAUAGGAUCGGGAGGCGGGGGAUUCCUACUCGUCUUGACAGCGCAGAAUCUACAGCCCCGGGUACAGGUAUCCCCCAACAGCAUAAUGGUAGCGGUGGCGACGCCGUCUCCGCCGCCAUUCCAGCACUCCCCGAUAUUAGGGCACUGGGCUUCCUCGCAGACAGUGUGGAGAUUCAACCUGGACAAGGAAUCUCUCACCUCAUCGUACUUCUUCCCCUGCGGAGCUUUCUGCCGCAGCCACUCUGGUUUCUUGACGUUCGGAUCCCUCCCCGUAUAAGGCCCCACUCCGCCCGGGUACGGCGGAGGAGGGCCCACAGCACCAGCACCCGCACCUGUGGUCGUGGUCUUGAAAUUCGUCUUAUUGAGGGAAUUGUUGGGUUUUAGUUCCAGUGGGGAUUGAGAUUCACAUUUGAUGACGGAAACUCUAGUGUUAGAAUGAUGACGAGAAGCGUAUAACAAAGGAGGAGGAGAAGGAUUGGUGGGGGAUUUUGUGAGAUAUUGAGCAGGAAUCAUCAUUACUUGGUAAAUUGAAAAUGGGAAAAUUAAGUGCAAGAAAUGUUGUUGUUUUCUCCUUUCUUCUUCUUCUGAUUGAGAAGAGGAAUGGGGGAACGGAGAAGGAGAAGAAAAGGGGAACCGGGGUUGGGAGUGGCGAAAAUGACGAUGCGGAAAGAGUGAAAAGAAUGAGGAAUUAAAUGUAAAGUUCGGUGGUUUUGUUGCAGAAGUGGGUGGGCAUAGAGAGCUCCGUCCGUCGUCGGCCUACACUGGACUUUGAUGUCCAUUCCAAUUCUGUUGGCAGUUGGCACAAUGUUAACAUUUAACAGAUUAAUUGCAAAUCACUCCACAACUUUACAUGGGUUGCAGAUAGCACCCAGCCCCAACUCCGACUUCAAAAUUCUCGUCCAUCCCAAUUUUUUGGCUGCUGCUGUUGUCUUUUCCUCUUUCUUCAUCUCCGUAGCAUCCAAUCUCGAUGAGACAUGGGACGGGUACAAGGCCAAGCAGCAGCCCCAGAGGACGAAAAGAACCCUUCUUCAGCGAAUUCACCUCUUGAUUCUUUGAUUGCUGGUACAAUACUCCUCCUUUCUUUCUCUUUCCUAGAUUGUUGCUUCUGGUAAUUUGACCUGAUGUUGGACUGAAUAGACGAGCCUUAAACCCUGAACCCCAAACCCUGAUCAAAAGUUGCUAACUUUUCUUUUUCUUCUUUUGGGGUGCAGAAGCUGCAGCAUUUGGCGAUUAUUAAGCAUGCUAAUACAAUUUUCUGCUUUUGGGGAUUUUUUUUUUUAAUAUAUUGCGCUUCAGACUUGGGACUGACUGAAAUUUAUGUGUCUUUAAAAUUGGCAUCGUUGAAAUGUUAUAGUCAGUGGAGGAAAAAGCUCAAAGAGCACUGGAAUGGCCUUGCAUUGCUCAUUUGAGGACUGGUCCUUGUGGCUUCCAGUUCUCUGAUGCCUUCCUCUGUUAUGCUCCAGAGAAGGUAAUUACCAAAACUUAAACUCAGGUUUUUCUCUUUUCUUCCCCCCCUUUUUCUGCCUUGCACUGAUUCAGUAUGCAAUUCAAGUUACUGGCAAAUCACCUGAAAUACAAUUUUUUGAGUUGGCCUAACAUACUAUCUAAUUGGUGUGAUUACUAGCAUUAUAAUCCAAGUGUAAGAAGUAUGAUUUUUCAAUCCGAUCAGGGCCAGAAACAAAUGUUUGUGCAGUGUUGAUAUGGUUGUGGGGUUUUUGGGGCAAUUUUUUAUAGCUUAUUAGAAACCAAAUCUGACAUAGAUGGUGAUCGAAUGGGCCGGAUAAUCAGCCACAAUUGCUCCAGAAAAUUCCCACAUCUCUUCCUCCCCAUGUGUGCGUGCGCUAUAUAUAGAAGGAGAUAGAGAGAUGGAAUUAGCUGCAAUUGCCCGAGAAAUAAUCCCUGUUAUGUUGUCUGUGUCUGCAUAGAGCCCGUCCUUGCACGUCUCUUCUGUUUUUCACGAGGACUUGUGAUGGUUGAAAAUUGGUGGGAGACUGCAACUAAACCUAAAGCCAAAAUUUUGACCACAUCAGUUAUACUUUGCAAGAGGAGAAUAAACUUGAAAAUGAGAUGAAGUCAACCUUAUCAAAGCCCCUAAAUCAAAACUAGUAUUUACCUUGGCGCUCAAAGAUUUAAUCUUGAGAAAGGAAGACCUGAUAAUCGACAUGAAAUUAGUUUUUCCAAGAAAUCUCGUGUCCUUCGCAUCUCUCAUGUUCUAGUAUGCAUGUUUGCUGAUGUGAACAUUUGUGCUCGCUCUCAUACACCAGCACAUGUCUAUGCUGGUGCAAUUGUCCGCGGCUUGCCACAGCUUACGCUGCAAUCAGGCCAUGUAAGCUCUAUAGCAGAUUAAAAUUUACUCAAGUGUUAACUACUCCAAGCUAAAAUUUAGCAGGAAAUUUGGCCCUGUUAUGUAGUCACUCUGUAUUCUUAAAUUUUAAUCCUAUACUCUUUACAGAGCAUGUUGUUGGCAGUUAUUGCUUGAAAACCUUAUGAUCCGCACUUCCAAAUCUUUAAUUAUUUGGUUUGAGAUAUGCAUUUAUAUUUGAUCUGUGUAUUGAAUUGGGUUAUAUGAUCUUCAUAUUGAUCUGUCCUUUCUUUUAGUCAUUCAAGAAGAAGAAAGUGUUGCAUUCAACUUCCACACUGUUAAUGCUUGAUAGGAUAAGCAAAUGCACAAUCACAGUUCCUUUAUGCAUACUGCGUUUGCCAUCAAUAUAGGAUGUUCAUAUUUCAUAUUUUUUUUUCCUCCUUUUGUCUAUAUGUCUGUCUCUUGUCGCAGCCUCUCAGUUUGUCUGCUACUUUUCCCUGCAGGGUUCGGACUGUGUUAGACCAUUUGUGGCUCUGCCGAGUUGUUGAUACAAACUCAACUGUGCUUGGCAAACUCGCAUACCAACAAAUAGGAUCUAGACAAGCGACUCCAUGGUUUGAUUAUGCGGGACCCUAAACCCCCUUAGAAUCCCUUGGAUGAGAACUAAGAUUGAAUCUUAACCCUCAAGAAAAGAUUAAAAGAACUUACGGCUAUUGGUAGAACGGGCUACGAGCAAGUAUGACUCUUGCUUGAUAAGCUAAGAAGAACACUUAGAACAAAAUCUAAGAUAUUCAAAGUUAAUCGAAACUAAGAGAAUACUCUUAAAACUGAAAAUUGUUUAUUGAUUAUUGAAUGAAUAACAAGCUUGGCCAAGCCUUGUAUUUAUAGGCUUUGGUACUCCUAAUCCUAACUAGCAAUGGAAAACCAUAUUAACUCCAAAUAACCCUAAACCUAGCUUACUAAGGAAGCUAAUAAACGAAGCUCAAAUGGGCUGGUCGGUUAGGGCACACAUGGGCUUUCUAACCUUUAUUCUCAAGCCUAUAUUAGUCGCUUAACUCGAUAGUGAAGCCCAUUAUGCAGUUCAUCCUUUUUCUAGUAAUUUGAGGCUUCUUCAUGAACUUGGAGUAGGCUCACCAUCGUGUGUUUAGCCCCUUGAAUCCUUCCAAUGCGUGUAUGAACAAUUUGGAGAAAUGUUUGGAGGUUCUCACGCAUCUUUCUUGCUCUUGCUCGAGUCAUUGGUCCAGGGUUUAUUGAUGGUGCGUGUAGAUCAUUCUUACUCGAGCCUCGUGAAGUGACGACUUGAGGUCUUGGUGGUUCCUCAAGAUCAUUCUUACUCGAGCCUUGUGAAGUGACGACUUGAGGUCUUGGUGGUUCCUCAUCAUUCCCUUCCUCUUGAGAAGGAUUUGUCCUCAAAUCGAAGUCGUUACUUACAUCAAAUGGAAGUAAGUCAGCAACAUUGAAAGUAGAGCUAACAUCGUACUCACCUGGAAGGUCAAGUUGGUAGGCGUUGUCGUUGACUUUGGCAAGGAUUUGAAAGGGCCCAUCUCCACGGGACAUCAACUUGCUUCGCCUCUUCUCAAGAAAACGCUCCUUGCGCAUGUGUAGCCACACCCAGUCUCCAGGUUCGAACAGUAGUUGCCUACGUCCCUUGUUUGCAUGUUUGACAAAUUGCUCCGUGCAUUUCUCAAUGUUUGCUCGUGCCUUCUCAUGCAGUUGUCUCACCACUUGGGUCUUUUUCUUACCAUUAAGACUAGCAUGCUCACUCAAGGAUAAGGGCAUAAGAUCUAGUGGUGUUAAUGGGUUGAAACCGUACACCACCUCAAAAGGAGAAAAUUGAGUAGUAGAGUGGGUAGAACGGUUAUAAGCAAAUUCAAUGUGAGGUAAACAUUCUUCUCAUGUUCUCAAGUUGCGCAUAAUUAAGGCACGUAGCAUAGUAGACACAGUCCUAUUAACUACCUCGGUUUGGCUAUCAGUUUGAGAGUGACUAGUAGUUGAAAACAAUAACUUAGUGCCUAAUUUAGACCAAAGUAUUUUCCAAAAAUUGCUCAAAAAUUUAACAUCACGAUCAGAGACUAUAGUGCGGGGAAUACCAUGCAAACGGACUACCUCUUUAAAGAACAGGUCAGCAAUGUAUGGUGCAUUAUUAGUUUUGUGACAUGCAAUAAAGUGUGCCAUUUUUUAGAACCUAUCUACUACCACAAAGAUGGAGUCAUGUCCUCUUUUUGUCCUAGGUAAACCAAGAAUAAAGUCCAUAGAAAUAUCCACCCAAGGGUCACUAAAUAUAGGCAAAGGCAUGUAGAGACCAUGUGGGUUUACCUUGGACUUGACGCGAAGGCAUUGAAUGCAUCGUGCAACUUCUCUCUUGACAUCCCUUCGCAUGUUUGGCCAGUAUAAGUGCUCCUGCAAGAUAGAGAGAGUUUUACCUAUCCCAAAGUGUCCUAUUAGUCCCCUACUAUGGGAUUCUUUAACUAGUAAUUGACGAAUUAAGCAUUUAGGGAUGCAUAAGCGGCCUAAGUAGUAAAGGAACCCGUUGUCUAUGAAGAAUUUCUCUUGGGCCUUUUGCUUGCACGCUUCAAACACUAACUUAGAAUCGUCAUCAGUUGUGUAUAAGUCUUUGAUAAGCUCAAAACCAAGUAAUUUAGCAUCUAAAGUAGCAAGAAGUGUGUACCUUUGUGAGAGUGCAUCAGCGAUUAUAUUAGACUUACCAGUCCUGUAUUUUAUAACAUACAAGAAAGUCUCUAUGAAUGAGAUCCAUCGCACAUGUCUCUUACUUAGUUUGUUUUGAGAUUUCAGAAACUUGAGUGAUUCAUGGUCAGUGUGUAUGACAAACUCCUUGGGUCGUAGGUAGUGUUGCCACACUUGUAGUGCUCGAAUCAAAGCGUACAACUCCUUGUCAUAGGUGAUGUAGUUCAACAUUGCACCAUUCAGUUUCUCACUAAGGUAAGCAACUGGUCGUCCUCUUUGGAUCAACACUGCUCCUAUGCCGAUCCCUGAUGCAUCACAUUCAAUUUCAAAAGUUUUAGAGAAGUCAGGAAGAGACAACACGGGUGCGUGUGUGAGUGCGUGUUUAAAAGAGUUAAAGGAUUUGUCCUGUUCUUCACCCCAGUGGAAUGAUACAUCCUUUUUAAUAAUGGAGGUCAAUGCUGCGGCUUUGGAGCUAAAAUCACGCACAAAGUGUCGAUAGAAACUUGCAAGUCCAUGGAAGCUCCUUACUUCCCCAAUGGUGGUCGGUCUUGGCCAUUCUUGGAUGGCUUUGAUUUUAUUCUCAUCCACCUUAAUGUCCUGUGAACUCACAACAUAGCCUAAGAACGCUAGUUGGUCAGUGCAAAAAGUACAUUUCUUUAGAUUAGCAUAUAGGCGUUCUUUUCAAAGUACUUCUAACACAAGUUUAACAUGCUACAAAUGUUCCUUUAGACUUGUGCUAUAAAUGAGAAUAUCAUCAAAAUAUACUACUACAAAUUUGCCUAAGUACUCACGCAAGACAUGAUUUAUUAGUCGCAUAAAGGUGCUUGGUGCAUUAGUAAGGCCAAAAGGCAUGACUAACCACUCAUAUAACCCGUACUUAGUCUUAAAUGCAGUCUUCCAUUCAUCCCCCUCUUUAAUUCUAAUUUGAUGAUAUCCAGAUUUCAGAUCAAUUUUUGUGAAUAUAAUUACCCCGUGUAAUUCAUCUAACAUGUCAUCUAGACGAGGGAUGGGAUGGCGAUACUUUACCGUUAUGGUAUUGAUAGCUCGGCAGUCCGUGCACAUCCUCCAAGUCUUGUCUUUCUUUGGCACAAGGAUGACUGGAACAACAUAAGGACUUAAGCUUUCUCUUGCCCAUCCUUUGCCUAGAAGCUCCUCCACUGGCCUUUGAAUCUCCUUGGUCUCCUCGGGGUUGCUUCUAUAGGCCGGUCGGUUAGGUAGGGGUGCACCAGGUAUGAGGUCUAUUUAGUGUUCAAUACUCCUCAUGCGUGGCAAUCCACUUGGCACAUCAUCGGAGAAAACGUCCUUAUACUCCUGCAAAAGCUUAGAAAAAGAACUAGACAAUGAAGGGUCAAAUGUGUUAGCAUCAUUCGAAACUUCCUUGGUAUAAAAUAGGAGCAUGGUUUUGCCUCCAAGUAACCCUUUCCUCACAUCUUUGGCUUUUGCACUUAGUAAUAUUUUUCCCUCUUGUUUUACCUCAAGAUCCGUCCCAUUUAUUGCCUUUUCCCGCUCAUUUUGCACGGAUCUUUUCUUUUCUUUUCUUUCUUGUUUUUCAAUUUUUUUCCUCUCAUCAGCUUUUUCACACUCAUGCUGGAUUUUCAUUUGGUCCUCAUACACUUGCUUAGGUGUGAGUGGUGCAAGUGUGAUCUUCUUUCCUUUAUGUAGAAAAGUGUACAUGUUGGUACAUCAAGUCUAGUACUUCUAUCAAAUUGCCACGGUCUACCAAGUAACAUAUGACUAGCCUGCUUAGGUACUACAUCACAAAGUACUUGAUCCUCAUAAGUGCCAAUUUUAAAGAAAUGAGUACCUAUUGAGACAUUCAGAUGUCUCCACAAUUAUUUAGCCAUUGUAGACGGUAUGGUCGGAGGUGCUCGCGAGUUGGAAGCCCUAAUGCUUUGACCAUCACUGAGCUUGCUACAUUGGUGCAGCUUCCAGGGUCUAUUACCAAACUACACACUUUACCAUUUACAUGGCAUCGGGUGUAGAAGAUGUUCUCCCGUUGGAUCUCCUCUUCCUUAAUAUGUGUGGCUAGUGUGCGCCAUGCCACGAGUCCUAACCCCACGGACUCCUCCAAUGGUGAUUGUAUGACCGCUUCCAUGUCGCCUUCCUCUUCUAAUGAUGGCAUUUUCUUUUAUUUUUCCUCGUCGUCGGAUAUUAUCUCUCCACUUGGAAGUACGAUCAUUGUUCUUUGAUUUGGACAUUGGCUAGCAAUACGGUCAAGUCCUUGGCACCUCCAACAUUUGGUGUCAUGACUCCUUGCUUGAGGAGGUUCAUUGUUCAACUUUGAAAUGACUUUACCUUCCUCCUUGAACGGCGUCGGCUUUGGUUGGAGUGGUAUAGCUCCCCGAGGGUUUGAACUCCCUCCUCGGAUUGCUAGUACGGCUAUAAGAGGGUGAUGGUGUAGAAAAUGUCCUAUUUUGGCCCCUCCUCUUAAGCUUUCGUUCCACCUUCAAAACUUUCUCGAGCAUGUCUUUUAUUUCCACGUAAUGGUACAUCUCGACCUUAUCCGUGAUCUCCGCUUGUAGACCAUUAAGGAAUCUUGCCAUGGUAGCUUCUCGAUCCUCCUCUAUGUCCGCUUAGAGCAUGAUUACCUCUAUCUCCUUAUAGUAAUCUUCGACACUUUGAUUUCCAUGCCUUAAGUUUGUAACUUUGGUACAAGUCACGAUGGUAAUAGCUAGGAACAAAGUGUUUGCGUAUAAGGACCUUCAACUCGGAUCAAGUAGCGAUCUCAAUGUCUCCACUACGGCUUCGAUUAGUGAUAAUUUGGUCCCACCAGAUGAUGGCAUACUCGGAGAAUGCCAUGACUGCUAGUUUCAGUUGUUGCUCCUCUGUAUAGUCAUUGUAAUUGAACAUAAGUUCAACUUUCUUUUCCCACUCGAGGUAGACAUUCAGAUCGGAUUUCCCUUCAAAGGGUGGCACUUGCAUUUUGAUGCCUUUAAUUGCUUCUCCCCUUGGUUGGUAGCUCUUGUUAGCCCUCCUCGUGUGUGGUCCAAGUUCAUCGUCGGAAUAAUUGGACCCUUCCGACUCAUGUUGGACUGUUCUCCAUCGGUUCAUACUCCCUCGUGUGCCGCUUUGGGUAGCUUCCACCUUGUCAAGCUGUUCAUGGACAAGUUCUAAUUUUUGGUCCAUGAUUCGUUGGAUGUCACCCUUUAGGGAUUCGGCAAAGAUUUUAAAGUCAAAAACCGAUGGGCUAUCCCCCCCUGCAUUAGGCAUGCUUGGUAUUCUUGCAAGAAAAAGUUUAGCUUGAAAAAAUAAUUUCCUCACUUGCUCCCUUAGUGUUUACUCUCGCUCUCGUGUAUCACACACUUUUUUUUUCUUUUUCCCUUUUUUUUUGGCUCACAGAAAUAUAUUCUCAAAGCUUGAUUUGUACAUUUGAAGAGGUUAGAUCAGCUCAAUAAGUUGUUCAACGGCUUACCAAUGGUAAAAUCACUUGGCACGUGAGAGGAGUUUGAAGGACCCGAAACAGAAUUUUUGGUCUUGACUCAAUGGAAACGAAUAAUUGCAGAUCAGUUUUGAAGCUUAACAAAUGAUACAAUUAAAUGACUCACUAAGACAGAUUUGGUAACGUCUCUACUUGACUCAACCGACUCUAUUAAAGCAAAGACACAAUGGCAGAAAUUUAUGACUCCUAGAAGGACUUACCCGAUCUUGCACUUGGUUGUGUUUUUGGAAGGUGUAAAGGAGGGUUUCUUGGACCCUCGUUGUGUAAGAGUGGCGGCUGGUAGCUAGUUCCCCACGUGAUUUUAUGUUACCAAUCAGAAAUUGGGAUUCCAAGUAGAACUAGAAUUUGCUUUUACAAACCCAAGUCAACUAGGCUUCCUAAUUCUAAUAGGUUUCCUUAAGUUGGUAGGAUCGAAACUGGUUGCUUUCUUGCGUCUCCUUUUUUUUGUUUUGUUUUUGUGGUAGUAUUGAUGCAAACCAGAUCUCUUUUUCUUCUCCCAAUUCGGUCUCAACCCCAAAACAAAGGUUACGGCUAUGGUUUGUGAGCAAGAACAGUCGCCAAUGCAAGGAUCAAGAACUAGUUAGUUGGGUUUCUAGAAGUUCAAGAACUCCCACGGCUUUCAAGAUUUUCGUCCAAGUUUUCUUGGCAAUUCUAGAUUUAAUUUCAAGGUUUUCAAGAAUAUCAAGAACAAGGUAAUUUAGCCGUGCAAGGUACAAUUUUCCCAACCCCUUUGUUCAAGAUUGUAACCCAAAUUGCUUAAAGCAAUAUAGCGAUCAGAAUUCUGUUUCUUUUUUUUUUUUAUGCAACACUUGAAGACUCUAAGACACUAAGACACUAAGACACAACAAUUAGUGAACCAAAAUUGGUCAGAAACAACAGGUUCAAUUAAGCAAGCAAUUGGACACCAAUACGGACAGCAAAGGAACAAGGGAAACUAACGGUAAUUUUUUUUUUUGUGUUGCAUUUUGAAGAAGACAGAAUUGAGGCAAUAAACUAUGACUCAAAUAAAACAAGAAAAAGGUAAGAAAUAACCUGGAAGUUGUCAACUAACUCUGAUUACCAGAUGAUACGAACCCAACCAUGCUUGGCGAACUCGCAUACCAACAAACAGGAUCUAGACAAGCGACUCCAUGGUUUGAUUAUGCGGGACCCUAAACCCCCUUAGAGUCUCUUGGAUGAGAACUAAGAUUGAAUCUUAACUCUCAAGAAAAGAUUAAAGAAACUUACGGCUAUUGGUAGAACGGCGCUACGAGCAAGUGUGAUUCUUGCUUGAUAAGUCAAGAAGAACACUUAGAACAAAAUUUAAAAUAUUCAAAAUUAAUCGAAACUCAGAGAAUACUCUUUAAACUGAAAAUUGUUGAUUGAUUAUUGAAUGAAUAACAAGCUUGGCCAAGCCUUGUAUUUAUAGGCUUUGGUACUCCUAAUCCUAACUAGCAAUGGAAAACCUUUGGCUGCGUUUGGAUCCCCAUUUUUUUCAAAAACUGUAUUUGUAGUCCAAAAACAUGGCAGGAAAAUUUCAAACAUCUACAGUGUACCUUUUAGAAAACAACACCGUUUUAUUUAAUUUCUGUCUCGUCUCUGUUUUUGUGUCCCAAAUACGGAACAAGUGUCAAUAUUCAGUAGUCGAAAGAGCACUUUCCUCUUCUCUCGCUGUCUUUGCCCAAGCUUCACCUUUCCUCCAUUAUUGCUCUGGAACAACCGCAGAACCCACAUUCAACUUGAGUUGAGCUUCUCCCUGUAGACGGCACCGGUUGUACGGCUAAUGCAGGUCACCUAUGGUAGGUGAAGAGAUAUCCUCCAGUAAGACUGCUGUUGCCGAAGCUGCACUAUUUCCGCCAUUGUUGCCCUUGAACAACCUGUGUUUGGACAUUCAACUUGCGGCGAGGUUGUUCGACCAUUGCGGCUCUAGAUCUACGGCAAAAUCAAAUCACUUGAGGCACCUUCUUCUACACUGUUAAACGGUCAUCUCAGCUCAUCAGGUUAGUACUACCAGAAUGAGUUCUCGACAGUAUGUUUUGCAUUUCAAGUUUGUUUUGAUGCAAUGAUACAGCAAGCUCCAUCUUUCUCAUAGCCCCAUUUUGAUGUAUUGAGACCUUCAUAUCAUCCCUGUAUUAGCAUUCUGCCCAAACACCCAAAUCUCGUCUGAUUUGUGUAAGCUGGUUCAAAAACCCCAAAAUUUGAAUGUCUGUCCGUUGGUAUGUUAAUUAACAAGCCUCUGUGAAAUUUUUUGUGGUAUGAACAUAUAGUUGUCUCCAGUUUGUCUUCAGCUUCAGACGGUUAUCAAUUGGCAAUGGUUAUGCUUCCUGUUUGGGUUCAAUUGCACAAAAUGUCUACCAGUUGCAAUUGAUUAUCCAGUUGCAAUUUUUAUUAGGCUAAUAAUCUCUUAUAUCACUGGGUUUAGACUGAAGCUUACAUAGACAGUUGUAACUUUAGAGUGAAUUAUCCAUCAUGUUGUGGCCGACACUUUGCCAAAACUGUUAUUGCAGGGAGGUAGGCUUCAUUCUUAUAUGCACUAGCUUCUGAUAUAGUGUCGCUGUCCUGUCUUUUUGGCCAUUUACCACACCAGGUCCGUAUAUUCUCCACCAUGGAAGUACUUCAUUUCUAGCAAUAAAAUUCAAAUUAGUGCCUGUUGUACGGCUAUUUCUUUAAUUCUCAGAAAUUGUUACGUUUUGUAGCUGCUUUCACAUCUCGGAUAAUAGAAAAUGUGCUUCACAGUGAUAAUACCUGCGGCCAUUCAAUUUACUGCUUGACAGAUCUUGUUUAGAGGGAAAGAAUUUUGUUUUCACACACUGGAAGUUAAUAUCCAUUAGUAUUCGUUCCUUUAUACAUGCACCUUCUACAAUUUCUAUGAAUUAAGAGUUGGAAAGUAGUUAUCAAUUAAAAUUGUCGGUUGAGCUUGCAUAUGCCUUUAUUUCAAAAGCUCCCGAUUGGGUCUCUUCGUUUAAAUAGAUGGUAAUAUGUGCUGUAACCCAUAGCACUGGUAUCUAAUAUGGCUUUUGGACACUGUUAAGAGUCUAAUGGCAACAAUAGUUCAAUUGUUUCCGCAGCUUAAAUAGCCUCAUACUAGUAUUUUUAUGUAUUAAGUUUAGCUCAGAUACGGUUAACCUUCUUCGCUUUGAGGUGAACCAUUUAGGUGAUACUUUUUAGAAGCCUAUUGCAACUACAUGCCCCCUGUUACUCGACGUGCUUGGAAGGGUAUGAACUACUUCCACGCUUGGGGUCUUUAUUAGAUUAUAUGAGUAUUUAUUCAUUGAUGGAUAACGCUAACUUCUCUCGCUGUCCAGCUUUUCAAAAAAGUAGGCGCCUAGGCAGUUAUUCUUCGAAGUCAGCUUGUGUAGAGAACGAUUUGCAGCUGUGCAUCACCAACUACUUCAAGGUAAAGCUGUUUAAGCCAUACAAACUGGUUGAAUGCCAUAGAUUAGAAAGAAACUAUGCCAUGCAAACUGUUUAAGCUAAAAAAUUUCCUUUGCCAUGCGUUGUUUCCAUCCUAAACCCAAAAAAGAUGAGUUGACCACGAGCAAAGUAUUCCCAGCGUAAUAGUUUCAUUGAACAACACGAAAUUGCAUUUGCCCAACAUCUAUUGAGUAUGCAUAGGAUGGGAGAAAUUACCCCUAACAACAUCGGGAGUCAUGCCAUCCCCGAAGUCAUGGCUACGCUUAACGCUACCUUCGGCACUUCCUUUCCCAAAAUCACCAUCAGAUCGAAAUACUACGCCCUGCAGAGCCUGACCAGACUGUAUAUUUCAUUCAAGAGGCGAGGUACUGGUAUGGGUUGGGACUCUUCGAAGUACACAUUAAUGAUGGAUGAUGGCCGCUGGGCUGAUCUACUCCAGGUUGGCUAACUUGUACUUAUAUUUCCUGUUUCAUUUCGAUUAUUUUUCUAUUAUGUAGACUUGCCUAUGUGACCAGGCUGUGCAAUUCCUUUUGUACCCUGUUCCAAUAUUUUCCUUUAUUAUUUAUCAGUACAUCAAAUCUGUUCGAAAUCAAUUUUUCAUUUAAAUUUCCUUUCGAUUAUUUGCUGGCUAACGACCAAAGCAAUAUAGCCUCACAGAAAAGAAUUGUCUUGGGUGUUUUAUGCAUUAUCUAAUGCUUGUUUUGAUGUAUUUUUUAAAGGUGAACAGCGACUUCACAAGGUUUUAUAAUAGAUCAUGCUAUGUAUUUCAUUUGCUUGAGGAAGUCUUCAUGAACCAAGGCGCUACAGGGGACUACAGUGGGGCGCAUGAAGAAUCACCCCUCAACACUGAUGAGAAGUUGGAAAUGGAGAAUGCGGCGAGAAGUGCUAAGCCCUCGGAUGUUGUUAACGUCGGUUCUUCGGGUGAAGAUGUUAAGUUGCCCUCGGCUAGGAAAGGGAAAGGGAAAGGGAAAAGGAACGUGACUAAGGAGAAAAAAAAACGCAAAUCGGGAGGCAUGUCAGAGGAUUCAUUCUUCUCAGGUUCUUCAAGGGAAUUCGAACAGUAUAUGCGUGUGCUAGACAGCAUUGAGACAAAAUUGAGUGGUAAAAAGGGAGAUAGCAUAUGCUACUGGUUCGGUCUGUUCACUGUCGAAGACUACACAUCGCCCUGUGGAUGCUGAUUCUGAGCUAAAGGCCACGUUGGCACAGCUCCUCGCCCUGAAUCUAGACAUAAAUGUGCAUUUGGGCGUUGCUGAUAUUUUGUGAAAUUCUUCAGAGCGGGCAAUUUGGAAUACUUGCACUACUGAUGUUGCUCGUCUUGCAUUUGUGAGGCGCAGAGGGUUCUUACCCCCUGAGUAGAUCGAGACCAGUCCAGUUUUAUUAUAGUUAUGCUUAUUAGAGCUCGUUAAAUGCUUGUGUUUUCCUCCCUGCUCUGCCAUUUGAGUAUUGAGUUGGCAGUAGGUUUGGUAUGAGUAUGACUAUGCCUUAACUUUAGUAGCAAUCAUGCGGUUGUACCGGAAAAUUGUUUUUCAUUAUUUUUUUCCUUAUUUUUUUUCGCACACGCUUGUAUGAAACAAUUGUUUAUUAGAUUUUUAUGUUGCCUUUAAUUGUCCUAAAUUAUUAGUGUCGCAUUUAACUUAUGGAAGUUAAGUGCUUUGUUUAUAGUUACAGCUGUUCGGGUUUUAAACUUUUCUAUGUACGCAGGGGUUAAGCUUGUUACGUUUAUUUCCAUAACUUUCAUAUGCUUAUUGGUGCAUUUGUGUAAUAUCUCCUAUCGCAUAUGGAUGUUAGGUGCCCUGUGUAUCCAUCCUGUGUGUACACAGCAAUCCAUCUUUAUUUUUCGUACUGAAUGUAUGAGACUCGGGAAUGAAACUGGCCGUGCUUCAAAGUGUAGAAGCCAUCAACCUUAACAUCAUUUUUCAUCAACUUUUACUGUACUUUAUUGAUUAGCUACCUUAUGUUGUUAACUCCUAUCCCAUUAAUACGCUGUCUUAUGGUUGCAUGUAGUUGUAAUUUGACGGAAAUAUAAGAUCGAGAUUGGAAAUAUAUUGCACUUAUAUAGAAAAUGUCUAUCCGCUUGCAUGCAUGGGAAUUAUUGGGUGUAAUCCAUAUGCACUAUGAGUGUAUAGGCCAAAUCUUCUACAUUCAUUAGUGUUUCCAGUUUAUUUUUUGGAAAACUGUGUUCGAUUGAUAUUGCAUUUCCAUGUGGAUGUAGGUUGGCUAUUUUCUGGAGCUCUAGCAAUAGUACGUCUCCGCAAAGUAACGAGUCUCUCUCUCUCUCUCUCUCUCUCUAUUGAUUGCUAAUUGUCAGUGCUUUGUUUCGGUUGCACUCUUUAUUUGUCUUCUCAUAAUAUCUCCUUUCAUGCACGAACUGCAGCACGUGUAUUUUGUUUCCAAAAUUUCAUAUUUGGUGAUUACGCCUACUUCCACCUUAAUUGUCCUUACACAAAAAUGAGAUUUUUAACAUUUACUAUGGUUUCAUCUCCGAGGCUAUCAUAAACUUGACUAUUAGUUUGUCAAUAAAGCAAGAGUUACUUCCUGAAUAUAAACGGUAGCCUGACCUCUCGUCUCUCUUAUUUGCAUCUACUCAUAUCAGCUUGUGCUUGGGAUAACACUAGUCUUGACAUCAUUCUCAAGGGUUAUCUCAAUUGAUGGAUAACGAGCUCCACGUUCAAGGCGGACAAUUAGACGAUGAGACGGACGAUCUUGACCUCGACAACAUACUCAUGGCGGUUAUUGUCAUGGGAAUGGUUUUCUUUGACCCCAGACUGAAUCAUUUUCCAAGAAGGAGAAGAAUCCGAGAUAGUGCACUCUCUGGCAGGGAUUAUGUACUUGAGGUGCUAAACGGCCAUCCGGAUCGAAUUAUCAAGAAUAUGCGCCUCUCUGUGCCCCUGUUCCUACACUUGUGUGACAUCUUGGUUGACCGUGGGUACUGGCACGCAUAUCCUUCUCAAAGGGUUGGGGUUCAUGAAUCCGUUGCCCUAACUCUAAUGUGCUUGAGCCAUGAUGAGCGUCAUCGGGUUUUAGCCGAGCGUUUCCAACAUUCCACAGAGACAAUUGAUCGGCAUGUAAGAAAAGUUCUGCGAGCAUUGGUGCGACUCGGUCGUGAUUUUGUUAGGCCGAGGAAUGUUGGUGAGACAUACCCCAGAAUUUUGAACAACGGACUGUUUUACCCGUGGUUCAAGGUAAAUACACAAACACUCAAUUCUUGGUAGGACUAUGAAGUUCGUAUCUAUGAUUUCCCGUAAUUUGUCUUGAUAAUAUUUUAAUAUAUAUGAAUAGCACAUUGUAUUCCUGCUAAAACAUCCAUAUGAAUAGUUUAUUAGCUAAUACUGCCAUGACUUUGAAUAAUUUGCCUCAAAAUUCAUAGGAUUGCGUCGGUGCCUUAGAUGGAACCCACAUCUCAGCUUGGUGUUGAACAGAGAUAAGCGAGCAGUACAGAAAUAGGCACAAUGGACUAUCUCAAAAUGUGCUUGCAGCUUGUGAUCAUGACAUGCGUUUUGUUUACGUUCGAGUCGGUUGGGAGUGCAGUGCACACGACGCCAGAAUUCUUCAGGAAACACUGCACCAUCCAAAUUCAGGAUUUCCAAUGCCACCUCUAGGUAUGCUUUUCUUUUAUAUAAAGGUUUGUAGUAAAACAAGUGAUUUUCAUAUGUGAGUCUUGCAUAGAUUAAUAGACUUUUUAGUAUUGCUUCAAGGUUUGUUUAUUUAUAAAGUUUGAAAUAUGCUGACAUGGAUUUGGGGCUCUCACAUGUUAGGAAAAUAUUAUACGGUGGAUGCCGCCUACACUAACAUGCCUGGGUUCAUGGCACCGUUUAGGGCAGCGAGGGGCACGCAGCAUGAGCGGGUCGCUAAAGCUUUAUUCAACCGACGACACGCUUCUGUUAGAAAUAUUAUUGAACGAAGUUUUGGGGUUCUUAAGAAACGGUUCCCAAUACUGAAGGGUCCAAUGCAGAACUACCUCAUAGCAACUCAGAACAAUAUCGUGCUUGCAUGUUGUACUCUCCACAACUUCAUGAGAGAUUAUGUGCCUAACGAUGAGUACUUCGAUGAAGAAGCUGCCCUCAGAGCCCAACUAGAUCUCCAGGAGGGAGGGAAUGAAAUCCAUGAAGCCCAACCCAUCGAUAUGUCGCAUGUGGGCAUACAUAACUGGAACGAAAAUCGGCGAGCUAUUGCAGUUCAUGUGUAUGUGAAUCGGCAUGGCGCUUAAAGAAGCUUAUGUCUAGCGUGUAGUACUACUAAGUAUAAACUUUGCUUGCUUCCUACAAUUUGACAACCAAACAAUUUGUCAUGUUAUCUGAUUUGUAUUUACAUCGGUUAACCUUUGGGGAGGUACCAAUCGGAUGGCCUAGUUCCAGUUGUGGCACCUAUAAUCAAGCCUGAACUUAAUAUGCAGCUUUUUAUGCGCCUAUACCAUGUCUUAUUCAAUAGCUUGUAGUUAUACAUGGCGUUGAGACCAGAAUUGGUUGUAUCUUGUGUAUCCAUAUUUAUUCCAGCUGAGGUGCAAAUCAUGGUUCGAAUAUGUGCAAUAGCUUUCCAGUCGAUCCCAAAUUAUUUCAACAAGUCGAGUCCAAAUUAUUUCCAUCCCAACUUCUUUCGGGAAGGAGAGCGUAUGGAAUGUAGAUGGCGAGAUUUUACAAGGGCAUCAAGUUUCUGCUCAAGUAAAUCGAGGCCUUGGUAGUUUAUUUGCUACCGGCCCUGAAGUCCAGUCAAAUGGCACAUAAAUGAACCAUUGUGUAGUGUAUUUAUUUGUAAUGAGUUUUGAUGUAUUAAAUUCCAGGUUAGUAAAAUUUUGUAGCAAUGCUUUCACAAGGUUCUAAUUUUGACACUAAUAAUAUUAUGCAAGUUUGAUGAGACAUUGAAGUAAAAAAAAAGGGGUGUUUUUGAAAUACAGGUCAAUCCAAACGCAGAUUUUUUCAAAUACAUGGAGUUUUUCAAUCCAAGCAACUAUAGUUGUUUUUCAAAAACUGCUACAGUAGAGUGUUUGAAAUAUACCUCCAAAAACAGAGAAUAUAAACGCAGCCCAUAUUAACUCAAAAUAACCCUAAAUCUAGCUUACUAAGGAAGCUAACAAACGAAGCCCAACAUGGGCUGGUCGGCUAGGGCCCACAUGGGCUGUCCAACCUUUAUUCUCAAGCCUAUAUUAGUCGCUUAACUCGAUAGUGAAGCCCAUUAUGCAGUUCAUCCUUUCUCUAGUAAUCUGAGGCUUCUUCAUGGACUUGGAGUAGGCUCACCAUCGUGUGUUUAGCCUCUUGAAUCCUUCCAAUGCAUGUAUGAACAAUUUGGAGAAAUGUUUGGAGGUUCUCACGCAUCUUUCUUGCUCUUGCUCGAGUCAUUGGUCCAGGGUUUAUUGAUGGUGUGUGUAGAUCAUUCUUACUCGAGCCUUGUGAAGUGACGACUUAAGGCCUUGGUGGUUCCUCAUCAGUUGUAUCAAAGCAAAUGCUGAUGCUUUUUCAGAGGACAUUUUAGAGGACGAUGAAAUCAAGAAAGAGGAAAAACCAUCCAAAGAAUACAAAGUUUACCCUCCCUUUGGUCUGUAGAAUCCAAAAAAUCCGAACAAAAGUCUUAAGACAGAAUGUACUUAUUAUUCGAUUCCGUGGAACCUCAUUUUGUUAAAUACUAACUUCCAUGGGGCAUUUUUCCAGUCUAUUUCAUAUUAUUACCAAGAGAUUUCUUUAGGUCUAAGACACCACCAAGAAGUGUUCUUAUGAAUAGAGGCAUUUUGUAAACGUUAAUAACAAUCUGUAGAUUGAUCCCCCUUAUUGGUUUUAACUGAGCAAGAAGGGCCUCCAAUGCUUUUUAGCGCUGCUUGUGAAUGAGUGAUUCUUGAAAGAGGUGUUUUGAGAUUUGGAGGGUCAAAAGCUACUUUACAUUUAACGUUUUCAACAUGGAAGAAACUAAUAAUGGUAAAAGUUAUUGCAAUGUUCUCUCAGUAUUUGCCAUGAAGCUCCGAAGGCAAAUCAGACUCAGAACUAAGAGGAUACCAAGAGACCAUUUAUAUCACCAAUGAAACUGGUUACUUCAACUGUCUUUUAAGACCAAGAACUGGAGCACUUUCACGAGUCCCUGUUUGCUUGUGCAAUUGAGCAUGAUUAUUUUUUGCUUGGUUUGUUGUGACAAAGGUCAGGAUACUUCUCAUUAGCAAUAGCCCAUAAAAGCAUUUCUCCAAGAUAGCUCAAAUAACAAAGAAAUAUGUGAUCAAGCAGAAUAAUUUAGAAAAAUUAAUUGCAGCUGUCGAACUACAGUGACUCACAUAUCAAAAUUUCCUUUAUCCUAGGUAACUAGUAAACUCGAACAUGUCCAACUAUGACUGUACCGAAGACAUUAUAGUAUCCGAGCAUUCCUUGAUCCUACUGCAUUUGCAUUACAUCCCAUUACAAAUUUGCCAAAAUUUUGCAUAUUUGGUGAGAAUCAGGGCGCAUUGGAUGAUUCAUCUGGAAAAUUUUCAGAUUCUGACCAAUCAACCAUUUUCUCCAGCGAAUCCAGAUCCCCAGCUUCUGAAACUGUGUGUAACCUGAUCUUUUCUGCAUCCUCACUGAAAGAAUUGAAAAGCAACAAAUUGUCAGUUGAGUAGAAAGUUUUAAAUUAAAUGGCCAAGAGAUUCCACCAGAGAUUCUUACUCUGCAACUCCAAAUAUUUCUUUGACAAUUAACGAGCUAUCCCUUGAACAGAACUCAGGCAGCUGGUACAGAGGUAAAAAGAGUUAAAUAAUGCGUUAAAAUGUACCAAAACGCAUAUAGGUGAUACAAACUGGGCUUAGAACAAGUCCUAUACUAGACUAAGAUUACAACUCAACAGGAAAAUCUUUCUCAUCCUAGACAUGCUUAGAUAUCAUUGAUGAAACUACAGUGUAGAAGGGAGGCUUUUCAAACAAGAUGCCGCUCAGAGAAGAGAUCCAUGUGAACUUCAAGAAAAGAAGGAAUGCCUUGGUAACUAGGAUAGACCAUGAGCAAGACCGAUCUACACAUAAUUAGUACAUCAUAGUUAAAAGACACCCACAGAGAAUGACAUGGAGUUCUCUGAAGUUUAAUUUAAUCACUAGCACACUAAGCAUAUGGAGUUAAAAUUAGGGGUGGCAAUCGGGUCGAAAUCGAGUUGGCGGGUCGGGUUGAGACCCAGAUAUAACAAAAAACCCGCUGACCCGCCAACCCGAAAUGACCCGAAACUUAAUUUUAAUUUAUUAAUUUAUCACUGUAAUUUCUAAUAAAACCAAUUUCGCACAAAACUAAUUACAUAAUCAAGUAAAAAAAUUUUAAAUAAAUAAUCUCAAACCAAAUCUAAAAUAAAUUAAAACACCGUAAAAGUGUUUAUCCCAAAACAAGUAUAAAAUAAAUUAAAACGGUAUAAAAGUAAAAAAUAAUAUAAUACAUUAUUUGUCCAAAUAUAUAAUAAUUUCAACUUCACACAAGUUAAAUAAAUUCAUUUAGGAUUAAGUGAUUAAUGCCUUUGGAAGAAAAUAAUAACUUAUUUUAGUUAGAUAAAAUAAUUUUUAUUAAAUUAUUUUUAAUUCGUAAAACGGGUUAUCGGAUCAUAUUGGGUUGGAUUCAUCGGGUUCGACCCGAACCCGCGAAACCUUAACCAAAACCCAUUAAUUUCAUGUUAGGUUUGUAUCGUGUUUUUAGGUCGUGUCGGAAAUUGCCACCCCUAAUUAAAAUCAUGUGAAGACCAAACUGUCUUCCAACUUUGUGAAAUUGGGGCAGAUUUUUUAAUAAACCAAAUGUUACAGUAUAUUUGUUUAUCCUUAUGGCUCAGUACGGAUUCCCAUUUUUGGGAUAAUGAGAAUCCUUAACUGUUUUAGGGGUGUUUUUGAAAUAUUUUACUGUAGCAAUAUAAGUGAAAAACUUUUUAUUGUAGAUGAGGUUGCUUUUGGUGUUUUUGAGGUUGUUUUUUGGUGUUUUUGGUAUUUUGAGGUUGUUGAAGUUAUGUGUAUUACUGUAGCGUUAUAUCCCAAAAACUUGUUUUUCAACAAAAGAUCAAUCCAAACUGAGCCCUUGUAUUGCAAACACAAGUCUACAGUAACACCAAUACAAAAACAACCCAAAUACAACCUUAUAUCUAUAAAUAAAUAAAUAAAAAUAAAAUAUCACCCCCCCCCCCGGCCCACCCCUUCUUCCUCCCCCACCACUUGCUAUCACCACUCCCCGCAUCUUACCAUAAGAAGAAAUCUGGUAGAAAGUUACCAUAAACCAUAAGAAGAAGGGGCAAAAAAGGAACUACAAAUGCUUAGUAAGUGAAUAAUACACUAUGCAAAAACCGUGAUUCCAGAAUAACACAACAAACAAACUCGUCAUGCAAGGUGCACAUCGAAGCAUUUCAGCAAAGAGCUAUCAACCUUACCUCAGACAGAUAAAAAACCUUCCCAAACAGAGCUUGUACUGCAAGCUUUCUCUUGAAACCCUUCUCCGAAUAUCCUGACAUAUCCAUCACAACAGGACCUGAAAAUGCAAUCAACCAUUGUCAGUCAAUAAUGAUGCUGCAUAAGCAUGAAGGCAGGCAGAUAGCAUCUAUUAACAUCCAUGCAGCAGUAAGCAUAUCUGCCUUUUGAAGUUAAUAUCUAUGCAGAUCAUAAGUAAGAGAAGGCAGAAAAAGAAGAUCAAAGAACACGUCGUUUUUGGCUCCUUUGCCACCAAAAAUGGAUACAACGAGCAAUAUCAGUAAAUGCAAUGAUUAUCCAGCACAUUUGUACACAGACAUCUGAACCACAAGGCUUUGACAUAAAGGAACAUGCUUAUGACUUAAUAUUUCCUGUUAAGCCUUACAAAGCAGCAGGCACAACAAGAGAGAAGUAAAGUAGGAUUUUUGCCUAAGCAGACAAAGCAGAUAUUGUCGCUUAAUACAUGCUCUGUUGCAUCAAUUUCGUUAAACUUUCUUAUUUUAUAUUCCAACUUUACAUUUCAUAAAGACUUGGACAAGCCCUGUAAUGUCUUCCUUUACUGUUAUUUAUGGCUAACUACAUCAAUUUAUGAGGCAUAAUUGCUGGCUGAAAUAAAGUGAUCCAGACUGUUGGCUGCUCCUUCAUCCAACAUGCACAAAAAGAUUACUGGAAGAAACAAUAAGGUUCCUAGAGACUGGGGAACUGCAUAUAUUACACAAUUAAUUGGACAAAAAGAAAUUGUUAAUCAUCUCUGUUUCCUCUUCCACCAAUUGAUAGCCUUUACCAAAAUACAAAAGUUUGUGACAGAACACGUAGAUCUGCCGAGAAAGAGAAAGGAAAGAAUGUAAUGCGAUGUCUAUCAUAUUCAGAAAAGCCCAGUAUGCAAUUCUUGUGUGGUUGCUUAAAACCCUACUGGUUUUACAUGUUAUAGAUAGUUAAACUUUGCCAUAUAGCAGUUUGCCAUGUUGACUUUUGUUAUCUAUAACGAAGAGAUCUUAUAAUUCAAGACAUUCUUCUCCAGUCCUAAGUUCAUUUCAUAAAUUACAUGAGGGUAGUACAGAAUAGAAGUGCAACCACAAUGAUACUACUUUGUUACCUUUCUCUUUUACAUGUUAUAGAUAGUUAUACUUUGACAUAUAGCAGUUUGCCAUGUUGAAUUUUGUUACCUAUAACGAAGAGAUCUUAUAAUUCAAUACAUUCUUCUCCAGUCCUAAGUUCAUUUCAUAGAUUACAAGAGGAUGGUACAGAAUAGAAGUGCAACCACAAUGAUACUAGUUUGUUACCAUUCUCUUUUACAAUCCGUCUUGAGAUCUCAUUGAGAACUCCAGCUAUUUGAGAAUCAUCCAAUCCUGAUGCUUUCCUCAGUUGAAUCAAAUUUGCUACCAGAUCUGGGUUGAAUGGCUUCUCAUUCAACACAUAACGAAUAUAUUUUCGCAGAAUUUCCUCCACGUCAAAACCUGUCUGAGAAAACAGUAUUUAUGUUGUCAAAGGAAAAUAACUCCCUGACAAGCAUGCAUACAGAAAAACAGAAUAUACAGUAAAUUGAUGAAAAAAAAUAGCACAUAUUUUAGAUCAUCUUAUAGUAAGAUAAUCCAUCUUGUCAAAAGCAAAAUUUAAGGUUACAAGUCCAGGAAGAGUGAAACUAACAAAGCAUUGCCUGAACCUAGGAACAAGAUGAUACUUUAGAGGUCAAGCGCAAUAUAGAAAAAAGUGUUUUUAACUAAUCAAUACCCAUAAGUGCACCUUUGUGCAGGAGUUUAGGGUUUAACUUCUUUUCAGACUUCAUAAGUUAUUACAACAUCUUAGUUGGUAUAUAUGUGUGUGUGUGUGUGUCUAUAUAUAUAUAUGAACACAAAUAUAACCAGAAAUGAAACACCUGAGUGCUUCUAAAGGUUGCACAAAAUAAGAAUGAUGGGGAAAAACAAUGAUGUAAUUCAAGAAAACUCGUGGAACGUCCUUGUAAUUAUUGGUAAAACUGAAGGAUCAUUAGUGUACUUCUCCAAAUGAAAGUAUUAGAGGACGCUCUUAUCUAUCUGAAUUAGGAAAAACAAAUGGUAGGGCAGAGAAGAUACUCAAAAAGGAGAAAUGGAACAGGCACAAUAGAGCAAGAGAAGAAAGUGGACAGGCCUAGGGAACAACAAGUUAGACAUUGACAAUUCCAAAGGCAUUUUCGUCAAAGAAAGGCUUAAAUACAAAUCACUCAUCAAGGCGUAAAUACAAAUCACUGAGCAUGUAACGUGAAACUUCAUGUAAAUCAUACAAGCAUAUAUUCCAAACAUACGCAUAAAUAAUUAUUAGAUGGCAGCUAAUACUCAUAUUCAAGAGGUUUCUUUCUUUCCAAACAUGACAUGUAAAUCAGAGAUACAAUAGUCUCUUGGAACAUAUGCCAGUGAGAGAACCUUACCUUCUGCAUCAGACCCUUCAAAGCUGAUUGAUCGACUUGAUCUUUUCCCUUCUCAAAUAGCUCAUCUAUUGAUUUGCAUAGCAUAGCAUUUUUAUUUACCUGAAAAUUUCAUUUUAAGGAGGUUAACUAUGAGAGAAAACUAAUUCAUCCUGCCUAAGGGUGAUCAAAUUAAACCACAUAGAGGAGGGAUAACAUUAGGUUACGUUCUUCAGAUAAACCUGAUCGCAUCAAAACACAUUGUAGUGCAAAAGCAAGGGAUAGUCAUAAAUUUACAAAAGCAAUCAAACAUGAUACCACUGUAUGAAGACGUGCAAGUAUAUCAAUCAGAAACCACCUAAUUGACUGUUCCAGCUGUUGCAAAUCACGAGAUGACUGAUGAGGAACACUGAGAAAGACAAGAUAAUCUUUUUCUGGUUGAGAAGUUAAGGACACAGUUAGUCUGCUAAUGUUAGAGUGACCUGUCCUGUAUAAUAACUGACUACAUGUUUUCAUGCUACAACGACUUAAGCGAAACAAUGACUUAAGCGGGACAUGCACUUUCAUCGUCAAACUCUUGUGAGAUGCAAAUGAACUGCACUGGCAUAAGCAAGAACUCCACAAUCUCAUGGAGAUAGUAACAGCCACAACUUAAUUCUGCUAUUGUAAUGAGCCUCAGAUGUGGCACAGCUAUAAUCAUGUCCACUCGACUUUUUGUUUACCUACGCAAGAACUCCACGAUCCAGAUUGCAAACCUAGAGAAAUAGACAUACAAAUGUCUCGUGCCAUAAGGGAAUCCAAAAGUUUUUUUGCUUUUUAUUGUUUCAAACUCUCGAUCACGUGCUUGCUCAACUACUUUUUGUCCAACAAUCAUCCCCUAUCUAAGGCGGGACAAGGAUAUCACAUACUCCUAAAAAGCUGCACAAGUGCAUGCAUUGCUCAAUCCUACACCUCAUACACACUAUACUUCCAUUUUUUGAACCACAUACAUACAAAUGCUCGAAGAAACAUGGAAUUUAAAUUGUUAACAGACAAUUCCGGGAUAAAGGCAUAAAGCACGCUUUUUUAAAACUAAAAAGAAGUGAACAGAAAGAAAAACUCUGCAAUGCAGGUAGAAAUGCUAACCAAUUGACGACGUUUUUCUCUGGGGGAAUUGAACUUCCGGACGGUCCUAACGAAAGCAAAGACAAAGGUGAUCCCUAAAUAAGCCAAAGGAACAGCCAAGACCCAGGGCAAGGAGCUCUGCCCAACUCUAGGCCCGGGCAGGGCUUGGGUAACAGAGCCCGUGAACUCGACCAAGUCCAACGCCUUCUCCUGUAUCCAGGGCAACUCCUCCUCCACUUCCUCGUCCUCUACUUCCACUUUCUUCUUCUGCUGCUGCUCCUUUUUACUACUUCUGCUACUACUAGUACUGGUACCACCACCACCACCACCCCUUGCCAUAGCAGAUACGAGGCGGCCCUGGCGGCUGCAACCGGAAGAAGUAGUAGUAGUAGAUGAGAAGGAAUUGGGGAACGGCAAAGACAGGGAAAAGGGGUUCCAUCUGGCGGCUCUGAGAAGAGGGGUUUUGGACAGAGUUGAGGGUUUUGUGGGUGGGAUGAUAAUGCUGAGAGCAAAAGAAGAAGAAGAGCGGCAACAAGGAGUUGAAGAAGUAGCCAUCAUAACCACUUCCAACUUUCCUAUAAGCUCAAUAGAUAGAGUGAAGAAGCCCUUUUUGGUGGUGGUGUUUGGCGGCGGCCGGCGGUGGCGCGUAUAAGGGGUGGCGUCACCAACGAAGAAGUUGGAAUUUUCAGUCUUUAACUUAUUAUUGUCAAAUUGGUCAAAAUUAGACUUUAUAAUAAAAAGUCAUUUAUAAUAAAUUAACUUCACUUCUAAUUUUUAGGUCCCUCUGCUUUCCUUAUUUUGCUAUUUCUGUUUUGUUUCUUCUUUUUUUUUGGCAAUAAAAUGUGCACUCGUUUCUCAGCAAUAAAAUUUUAUAUAAACUUUUAGUCAAUUAUCAUUUAUGUUUUUCACUCCCUUAUUUUAUGUAAAUUUUAACCAAUUUGUAAAAUUUGUGCCUUUCUAGAUUUAUUUUCAUAGUUUCCUUUUCUUUCUUUUUGUACUUUCUCACCAGUUAAAAUUUCCUCCUUUUUUUAAUUCUUGAUUAGCAAAUCUGCAUAGUAUUAUUUAGAGUAUUGUUUAAUUAAUCCUUUGCAUCUUAACAUUUUUUUGUUGAAAAUUUGUUUCUCAACAUUUUUGAGUAGUUAUGUUUUGUUUUCUCUACGUGGAAUGUUUGCAACUUAUUAUAGGCCAAAGUCAUGCCCUCAUAACCAUUACCUAUGCCAAGUUUUAUUUUGUCAAACAAAAAAAAAAUGCUAUACUAAGUUUUAUUAGAUUCUUUUUUAAAUUCUUUUAUUCCUUAAGCAUUAAAAAAAUCGCAUUUCAAAUUAAGGGAAAUGUAAUUUUCACAAACUACAUCUAAACGAAUCCCACGAAUACAACCAAAAGGCAAUUGCUGACUUCUUUUGACUGUACCCAUGGAACUUAAGUGAAAUUCACGCACACUCUAACUCACGCACCAUUUUCCCCACUAACUUGAUAAGUUAGAAAUUUGGUAAUGCUUUGAAUCUCUCGCCAAUUUGAUAAUUGACCCCAUUCCUUCUUCCCCUCUUUCCUCCCUCAAUUUUUUUUUAAAGAAUUUCCUUUUAUUCCUUAUAACUAUUGUCAAUUAUAUUUUAACUUAGUUAUGUUUUAGUAGCUUGGACCUUUCCUCCAUUUUAGAAAAAUAAGUAAAGCAAAAAUGAUAAAAAAUAAAAAAGAUAAUACUUGCGUAAAAAUUCAAAUAAUACCAUAUUGGGUUGAGAGUAAUACUGAAGGCAUAGCCAACAACAUUUAAUGUGUUUAAGAGAGAAAAGAGUGAAUUAUGGGGGAAAAAAGGAAAAAUGAAAAAAUAGAAAAAACUUUGUAAAAUAAAAGAGAUAAUUAUAUUGUAGUACACAAUAGACUUAGGAUGUUUCUUUUUUUGUUUUUUUGGCUAAAUUUGGAUUAUCUUUUAGUAUUACUAUUUUGCCUGGUUGAUUAUCAACUCACUUGGAUGACUUGCAAUUGUGUAACUUAUUUGGGUAUUACAUACACUACAGUUUAAGCGCUUCACUAAUUACGCAUAUCAUUUUGUAAAACACUGAUACUAGUUAUUCAACUAACUAAAAACUGAGUGAAAAUGCUAUUUCUAGUUUCGCUCUUGGUGGAAACAAAUAUAUGAGAAUUUUACCAGAUUAUUUUGGGUGGUUCGACAAAUUUAUUGGCCACAUCAGAAAUCUUUCGCUUGCAUUUGUACGGCCACUUUUUUAUGUUCUAAAAUUUUUUAGUUUUUGAACAAAAAUUGUUAUAAAAGAAUUUAAAAUACUAUUAUAUAAAAUUCAACAUACUAAUUGUAAGACAAACAUUGAAAUAAAACAUAUUAAAAAUGGUUGAUUUAUAACAAUUUAAUAAUUGUUUCAGUCGAAUCUUAUCCCAUAAUUCAAUUAUUUUUACUCUAAUUCAUGAUUGUAAGUCAACAUAUGAGUGAAUGAGAUAUAUUAGGAAAUAAGUUCAAUUAAAUAUUUGAUUCUGUCAUGACUAAAAAGAAUUUUAAAAGGUAAACUAAUAAAUGAUGAACUUAUUAUUUGCUCAAUUUAUUAAAAAUUUAAAAAAGUAAUUUGGAGAACUUUUUACAACCCCAUGUUUAUAUAAAUACUAAUUUGGCCUAAAUCAAAUUUGAAUGGAGACAACAUAAAAAUUAAUAGAAUAUUUGAGGAAAGAAUGGCUAUUUAUACAAUUUAAAUGUACUUGUAUGAGUAAUUUGCUAAAACUGUAUAAUAUAGAUUCAUUAGAAAUGGAAAUUGCCAAAUUUUAAUAUACAAGUAUGCAAUCGAGUCAAAUAAUAGAGAAAAAAAAUUCAAGAAAGAUAUCAUCAAUGUAAAUGUAUAUAAAGUGGGGAAUUAAUAGAUUGAAAUUUACUAAAAAUAAAGAAGUAUAGAAUGAUAGAAAAAAAUAAAAUUUCCCAUAUUUUAGUAACGAUAAUAAAUAAUCAAUGUAACCGUAUGUAAGGAAUUAACAAAUUGAAAUUUAUUGUAAAUAAGAAAGUAUAAAAUGAUAGGAAAAAAAAUGAAAGUUGGUCUAAAUUUUAGUAAUGGUAAUAAAUUAGGAAUCCAACAAUAGGAAUAGAGAAUGUUAUCAUAGAGAAUUAAAAUAGAAAAACUAUUGACAAAAAAAGAGAGUAAGGCAUAAAGGGUUUUUCUAAUGGGUGCCCUCGUUAAUACACCUAAUAUUCACCUACUCUACUAUGUAUAUAUACAUACUAACAAUUAUUACCUUCCUUUACAUUUAUAUACUUUCCCUAUUUAAUCCUACCUACCAUCUUUUGUAUUUAUUUACUUUCUUUAGCCCUCCGGGACUUGGUCUGGCGGUUGAGGUUACUGAAAAUGGAGCUUUAAGUCCCUGGCUCGAAUCUUGCUGCCAGCAAGUUGUGGAGGGUGGGGAAUAGUCUGCGGGAUCCACUCCUUGCGGGACACCCUUAAAAAAAAUACUUUCUUUAAUUAAUCUUAUAUUUCAAACAAUAUGACACUUGAAAUAUAUUUUAACGAGUGCUCAUAGGGCACUUGUUAUACAAAUUGAUAAAUUAUAAAAUGAAUAUAAAUUAGGUAAUUAAUAGGCUAUUUAAAAUUUACUUUAAAUCAGGGAGUAAAAAAGGAUUGUAAUUUGUUGUUACCAAAAACAAAUAAAGAAUAAAAUCUACUAAGAAACGUAAUUAAUAUAUAUGUAAUUAACAUGACAAAAAGAUAGCACUUCCAUUUGACAAAAUAUGGGAACAAUUCAACAACUUACCAAACUGGAAAGUGAAUAAAUAAUUAAUUUAUAUUUAUAUGAAUCUUCAAAAAGGGAAGAUGAAAGAAAAAACUAUCACUGUGAGCAUUCAAAUUUUGGUAAUAAUAAUAGAUAAUUCAAUCAAUAAUAGGAAUACAUUACGUGAUUAAAGUCUAAAGAUGAUUAGAAUGGAAAGGUGUGAGUUUACUGACAAAAAAAUAAAGAAGAUACAUUUAAUAUAAAUUUAUAUAAGGUGUCAUUAAUAGAUUUAUCGAAAUUGACUAUAAAUAAGAAAUUGUGCUAUAAAUAAGAAAGUAAUAAAGGAAGGGAAUUAAUUGUUACAUAAAAAAUAGAAAAGGAAUAAAAAAAAUAUUAGGACGCCUACGUGGCAUAAAGAUAGAUAGUCUACUUGGGAGAAGGCUAGAGUAGCUAAUUUAGCAACCUAUCAAAAUCGGAUUUAAAACAUUGUUUUAUUAUAUAUAUAAGCAAUUAGAUAAUUUCACAUAUGAUUUUUAAUUUUUAAAAAACUAUUUUAAAAUUUAAAUAUAAGAUAGUAUAUCUAUCAUACUUAGUUAGCAAUUUAUUUGAUUAUCAUCUUUGAGUGAUUCACAAUUUUAAAAAUUGAAACACUUGUAAUUAUGCAGAAAAAUACCCUAAUUUGUACGUGAAUUGUUGGUUUAUAGAGAAAAUAAAUUCUUCUAUAAUUUCAAAUUUAGUGUUAGUGACAUGAAAAACUAAAAAGGGCAAUGAUUACUAGCAGCUUCAUUCCACACAAACUUAAUAGUUCAAAAUAAAUUAAGAGGUACCAAAAUUAGUGUAAAUUUUCUAUAUAUAUAUAUAUAUAUUUUUUGGUAGGUGGGGGAGCGAAGAGAGAUGAUUUUUUCUGACUUCCUAACACGGGAGGGUAGGAUUUAAGAAACGCAUGAACUUUUAGUCUAUUAGCACUUUACCUUUUAAACUUCUUUAAUAGGCACUUUAAUCCCACUUUUUGAUUUGUUGGACAAAAAUGCCCUUUUUAUAUUCCUUUAUUUCUCCUUUUUACCUAUUCCAUUUUUUCUUUUCUUUUUUCUUUUUCUUUUACCUUCUCUCAUCAUACUAUUUCCUUUCCUUUCAUAUUAGUUCUACUAAUUGUAUACUUAAAUUAAUAUUUUAAUUUAUUACUUAUAAUAUUAUUCUUGUUGUAAUUUGUUUUCUUGUGUAUGUUCACAACAAUUAAUACAUGACAAACUAUAUGACAUGAAAAAAAUGCUAUAUUCUUGUCACAACAAAAAUCGUAUAUAAUCUAGCAGCCUAGUUACCUAAACGAAUAAAAACAAACUGGGCUACAUAGUUAUUUAAAGUUUAAAAGUAAAUGCCAACUAAACAAAACAACUAACACUUUUAUUAAUUCUUUUUACUAUGUGUAUAAUUGGCAAAUGAUAAUAGAACUCUCUUUUUGUUAUUAGAAUUCCUGGAGACUUAUUGACUGAACAAAUUAAAUAAAGGUUUGGCUAAUGAGUACCUUUGGGGUACUUGUUAAAAUAGUUUCAAGUGUUAAUUUUUUUAUAAGAGUGAAACUAAUUCUAGAAAACAUCUAGAUGUAGGGGGUAAUAAAAUGUGAGUGUGUGUGGUAAGUGAGGUGUUAUUUAUAUGUUGUAAUGGGAGCCUUUAGGUUGGCAAUAGUGUGAGAGCGAUAAUCUUCUUACCAGAGUAACUUUUAUUCAAAUACCAACAUUACCCUUAACUGGUCAGUCCCAUAUAUUCGCAUUGAUUUUAUUGGACUCAUUAUCUACUAAUUACUUUUUUUCUUUUCUCUCUAAUUAAUUGACAAGUUAGCCUUUUUCUUCUUUCUGUUUAAUUUAUUUAUCUAUUAUUUUCACAACUCACUGAUUUGGUUUUAAGUUUUUUACUCUAAUCCUUACUUCUAUUGUACUUCUUUUGCUUUAAAGUGCUAUUAUUUUUUUUAUUUUCAAAAUUGUAUUUAAAAGAUAUUUUUUUUUUGCAAAUACAACAUUAUUUUGCUCAAACAACUAACAAUCUAAAUGAAAAUAAUCCAAAAAAUGUAAAUGCACUUUUCCUUCAAUAUUUAUAGGAUGUAAAACAUAAUGCAAUUUAAAUCACUUUAAUCUAGUUGACAGGUCGUCAGCCUGUGCAAUAAUAAUAAUAAAUAUAGAACCUAGCUACCACUAAAAGCAGUCAAUAAUUGAUCCUAGGUACUGGAGCAGGGACUCUAGGUGUGCAAUGGGUUACUUAAUUCACCCUGUUCCCGAAGAGUUUGCUUAAUCCGAUAUAUCAAAAUCAAUUAGUUGACAAAAAAUUACUAAAUAGUAGACAGUGGCAAGUAGGGUCGUCUCCUCAGGGACUGGAUAUAUUUGUCUCUUUUAAAGUCCAAUUGGUAAGGGGGGGAUUUUACCGGAAUAAAACUAAAAACAAUUAAAUAAUUUUAACUAAAAAUGAAUAAAUAACUAGCACAAGUAAAACAGGAAUUAAAUCAAGAAUAAAUAAAUUCUAGCCAAGGAUACAACUACUCAGGCACAGUCCAAUCAUCCGAUCAUUGAUGCAAGAGAGGUUCACUUAAUGUAUUAAUAGGCUAGUUAUAGUCUGACGACCAAUUUUUCCUUAAAUUAUAGAUGACCAAGGUACCACCAUUAAUCACCUCUAACCAGAAAAGUACUCCUAGGUACGACCGUAGGAAUUAAUUUUCCAAUUGCAUUAAUAACUAGAAAAACCUAGCCCUAACCAAUAACACGCUACGAGGGUUAUUUAAAUUAGAUUGCACGUUCCCCUAAUGUGUAAACACACCAGUUGCCACUAACAUUAAUCAAUCAAACAAUUACGGAUUUAAUUGACUAAAUUGGCACGAGAUUAAUAAAUCACAUUGAACAUCGGGCCCUUGACAUCCAAUUGACAAAAUAAUCCCAUGAGAAUACAAGCAGACAACGUGCAAAUAUUAAUAAAUUAAGGAACGCGUGAAAACUAAUUAGAUCUCACAGAUUUUCGGGACUGCGCCGUCGAGUUGACCCUUGACUAGAUGGAAGACUUAGCCACGCCGCAUAAUUAAAUCACCACACGAAUUAAUAGAUUGCAAAGGCAUUGCAUUUUCUAUUAAGAAGCAAGGAAUAAAAGGUGUUUUUCCCGUUGGGGAAUAUUGUCGAACACCUGGCGUGUGUCAGAGGCCAGUCAGGAGAAAGAAAGAAAAACUAAAGACUAGGCUAAAAACUUAACUAAAAGGUGAUGUCUUCCUUCCCUACGUUAUCCCUAUUUAAGAAACAAAAGAAAGAUAGACUAAAGCUAUUUAGGUGGUCCCCACACAUGUGGACAAAGCCUCCAAAGUACUUCUUCCUCCAAGUCUCCUUACGUUUCUUUCUUUGAAGAGCCCAAAUGACUAAAUGCCUUCCACUAACUUGUGGUCCCCCACCAAUUCAAGGGCCCAAAGGUUGAAGCCCUUAGAAGUCUGCAUUUUUCCAUACAAGUUCCUCCUUUUUGGUAAUUUUCUGCUUCACUCCUGAAAUUGAUUCCAAAUACCAAAUAUGAGUAAAUAUCAGCAAUUAACACAAUAUUUGUCAGGAAUAGAAGGGGAAAUCAAUAAUAAAACUACUAACAAAUUAUACCCUAUCACUAGUUAUUAAAAAUAUGGAUACAUGUUGAAGUUAAGAUUGAUAUAAUAAUUGAACAACUCAUGAUUUACUCCAAUGCAAGCAACAAGUCACAAGACUUACUCAUGAUUUAUAAUUGAACCCAAAUUCAAAGUAAUACAAAACCUAAAUUAAAAGUUUAUACAUAAUCGAUAAUUUAAUAGUAGUGGAGUGAAUUGCAAAAAAAAAUAAAUAAAUAAAACAAAAAAAGUAUGAUAUUGCUAUCAUUGCAACAAAAAUUACUCAAAAGAUGAGAACUUGAAUCUCACUAUAAUUGCAACAAAAUUGAAUCCCAAAUUUAAUCAAAAUUUAUGAUCACUCCAAAAAACUAUAAGCAAAGAUUAUUUGACAGAAAACAUAAUGGAAUAAAACCAAAAAAGAAAAGAAAAAACAGGAAAAAUCUUACUGAUAGUAAUGCAAAAAUAGCAAUAGUGACAUAGAAAAGAAUAUUAUACAAAAGGUCUUGAACCACAUUUUGCAAAGAUCUCAAGAAAAUGAAAAGAAAUUGUAAAAUAGGAAAGAUGUAGAGAGAUUUGAAGGUAGGACUUCGAGUGAAAAUAAGAGAAAAAAUACCUCAUUGCAUAUAAGAGGAAGAAAAAGAGUAAUCAGUGGACAAUGGGUCUCAACAAAAUUAAUGGCAAUAUAAGAAGUUGACCAACUAAGGGUAAUAUUGGUAUUUGAGUAAAAAUUGCUCUGAUAUGAAGAUUACAACUCUAGUAGUAUCGCUAGCCGUGCCCCUGAAUCACUCCUAAAAUCCUUAAAAAAAAUUACCCCCUAUCUUGAUUAAAAUUUGAAUAGAUAAUUUUUUUUAUUCAAACAUUCCAAAAGCGGUUACAUCCAAAAGUGCAGGCUACAUUUUUGUGAAAUAACUAAUAUAAUAAAAAAAGGCAAAAAUUUUAUCUUGCUUAAUGAGUAAAAUAUUUCCAAAAAAGUGUCAUUAACCAAUAGUAGAUUGCAUUAAUUUUUUUAUUUUAAUCUUAUUAUUUGUCUCUUUUACUAUUAAUGGUUGAUUUUUUAUAAGCUUAUUUGUUUUAGAUAUAUCUAAACAAUUUGAAUAUUGUACAAAAUACGAAAUACGUUUUGCAUAUAGCUAGCAUACAUUUGUGAUUAUUAUAACUGCAAAAAAAUUGAACAUACAAAAAGAUAUAAAAGAGAAUAAGUUCAGGUACGUUAAAAUUAAUAUUCAAAUAAUAUUAGUAAAAAGAUGAAAAUAAACAAUCGUGUGAAGAAAAAGGAGAAUAAGAAAAAAAAUAAUAAGGAACAAGGUAAGAAGGAAAUAAAAAAGGAGAAAAAGUACCCAAAAAUAUUGAUAUGUGAAGGGCACGUUUAUUGUAAAAUAUCAAGUAGGGAGUAUAUGUGCCUAUAAACAAAAUUUUAGUGGGUAAAGUGCAACUAAAUGUAAACUCCAAGAAUUAGUACAUUUAACCAUUUUUUUUUGUUUUUAGUUCAUCAAGCACGCCUUGUUUCUUUAGGCCCCAUCGAUUUGGUCCUAGUUGGUUUCUCCAAGCCCUAUUGUGUCUCUUCCCCUUUUGCCCCAGUGUAGAUUAGAGUAGGGGUAGGAGUAGACUAGGAUAAUUGUUGCCAUGUGAUUAAAAAAGAGCACGCCUUGUUUUAAGAUGUCACAAGUUUGUUGUUAAGCCAAUUUUAGGUCACCUCUGAAUCGAAAUUCAUGCUUCAAAGCCACAGUUCAUCUUUGGACUGACGGUAUUGCAAAAGAAGUGUUUCCAAUCAGAUCCACUAAAAAACCACGCCUUUCGCUCACUUAAUUUCCCAAUAAUGUUGUAUCAGAAAGUUGUAAGAGGUUUGCAUAGGGAAUAGUUUCAAACCCUAGAGUCCAAAUUCCAUAGAGACCAAACAAUUUGCUGGAAAUCAACAUCAGCCAUAUUCAAAUCUUUGCAGUCAGAAAAAGCCAUGCUUUAUAGUCCACAUGAUCUUGUCCAUCAAAUUCUGUUCAGGCUUCCAACGAAACCCCUAUUGAGAUUCAAGUGCAUUUGGAAAUCAUGGCUGUCCUUGAUCUCAAGCAAACAAUUUACCAGAGACCAUCUGAAUUUCAACAAUGUCAAAAAACAACAUCUCCUCAUUAAGGAUUUUGAUGAUAAACGUCUUAGGCAUCUUAAACUUUGUUCUCUUCUGUGAGGACCCGUAAAUUUUUCUUAUUUUAUAUUAUUUCCUCGCCUGUAUUUUUCUUCAUUAUACCCUACUAUUUUGAUUUUUCCAGAGAUUUUAUAAGUGAAUAGAGUUUUUAAAUUAUUUUCCUAGUUUAAGUUAGUUCAUGAUAAGUUUGAAGUGUAUUAUUGACGUGGACCCGCUAGUGCGGUAAAUGCGAUAUAUUUUUGACAACUUGUCUGAGUUUUGUAUCAAGUGAUAUUAUUUUACAAGGCGCUAGGAUACAAUUAGAGGUUAGUUAGAUAAAUUACCAUUGGUAGACAAAAUGAUAGGAUUGAAACCCUAAAGGGCCACUUGUCACAAAACUAUUGGAACUUGGAUUUUGACCUAACUUUUUUACCUUUACUAAAUACCAAAAAUUUGACCAAAAAUAUCCCAUUUCUUCAUGAAGCUUGGCCGAACCUUUGAGGAGAGAAAAGAGAGGAAAACUUCAUCUUGUUUCUUCAAAUUCAAACCCAAAUCUUGAGUUCCAACCAUUAACAUCUCAAAUCACUCCAUAAAAACUCCUUACUAGGAAGAAUUAAAGAGGUUGGUGGAGUUGUUUUGGAAAGGGGAGACCUAAGUUGCUAGCUUUCUUGAGUUUUUGAGGUGAGUUGCUAAGAAAUUCUUCCUUUGUUCUUGAUAAUGUUAAAUUAGUGGCUUUAGUGGCUAAAUAUAUUGAUUUGUGGUAGGUUUUAUGGUUGAAAGUGGAGUUUUGAUGGAUUUUUAAUUUAUUAGUGAUUUUUCUGUUUUUAUAUAAUAAUUAUUGUUUAGUCAUGGGAUGAUAGCUUGUUAUAGUGUAAAAUGGAGCUUGUAUAUGUUGGAUACGAUUGGUAGUGGAAAAUUUCUAGUUUGGUGCGGAAAUUCUAGUUUAAGGCUUCAUCUUACCCUAUUCUGUCCGGUUCUGUUCGGCCAUAAUGGAGGCCGAAUCAGUCUUAGAUUAAAACAUGAAAGUUGUAAGAAAUGAUGUUUUAUAAUUACCUGUAAAUUUUUAACUCAAUCCGAGCACUGUAGCAUGUGAAAAAAUAAAAAUACCCCUGACUGCCAUAGGUAGAGCUCUGUGGAUAGUGUUGACAUUUUACCAAUUUAACCGCAUCUGUUUACCCUGAUCCGUACUGAAUUAGCAUUUGGCCAAAACAUAGAAGUUGUAGUGCUAUGUCUUAGCUUUUCAAUGGCCCUGAAAACGCCUCAAUUGGACUUCGGUAGCCUGAGUUAUUGUCGUUUAAGUAUUGUGUGGUUAAUUAGCCUGAUUGUGAGACUCUGGUUCUGUAAUUUGAAAUUUUGAUCUGGUUACACUACGACUGGACUGAGUGGUUUUCAUGAAAAUUGUAGCCCUUUAUCUUAGUUUCGAAAUGGUAUAAAUUGCACACCAAUUCGAUAAGCGUAGCUUCGGUUGUGUCCGAUACGCUAAGUGACGUCAAAUCUGUCUUUUGUUUUAUGGUUUAAACUUAAUUUCCGGAUAUUUUCCUAACUUGAUUUUGUACUUGUACGACAUUGAGCAUAUUGAAAUGGGAUUAUAUUGUGUGUGACAUUGGGGCUGAUUUGAGGGUAAAUGAAGCCAUGAUAGCUGGAAAAGUAAGCAAAUUUAGGGGAGAUGCUGUCCAAUUUUCUAGGCCGUUUGGUUCCUUUAAAUUUGAGUUGCCUUUAGAUAGAAAUGAAGGGCUUUUGGGUCGUUCAAGCCCUAGAUCCUCUCGUUACCUUUUCGUUCCAAAAUCACGCUUUUGCACCCUUGCAUUCGUAGUUCGUUUGGUUAGGCAUACGACUCAUAGUUGAGUUUCAUUUGUGAAUGUCGUUCUUAUAGGAACCAUAAUUGUUUUACUUUGAUCAUUUUAGGACGUGCUGGUGAUCCAGGAAGUACUUUGGGGGGGAACGUUUGAAUUUGUUUUAUUGGAACUGGUGAGUGUACAACUCCCUUCAUUGUUGCUUAACUUGGUUUCUGUACAUGCAAUCUGUGAUAUGAAUGACUGUAUUAUCUGUUUAUUCUGUUUGAGAUGAGGGUGUACUUCAUCAUACUCGUUCUUUUGUCUGUCUGUAUGCUUAUUUACUGUGCGAAUUUGAAUCUGUUAUCUGUAUUUGUAUCUGUUCUGACGUCGUUUGGAAGCUUGUAUCUAACGACCUUUCUGUGACCUCUGAGUUCAAAUCCUGUGGCUAAGUUACUCGAGUCGAGCCGGCAAGGGUCUGGUCGAUUAAAUAAAAAACCGCAGCAGUCUGUUCUAGGAAUUUUUGGGUAUUGAGACCCUUGAUUCCGGUAUGCUCGAGUAUUACCACUUCUGUUUCUGUUAAGGUGUUCGGGCCCGGUAAGGUGUAAGUUUGGUGGACGGAUUUUGGUGUAAAAUGGUGUUCUACUGGACUGGACUGGUUACUUUAUUUGGAAGUUGACGGAAUGUCAACUAUUAUUUGAUCAAGUUUCGGUGAAGCAAAUGGAAAUUUGGCUCCUAAGAGCCACCCGUAUCCUUUCUAUCUAUGGUGUUUGUUCAUUUCUUUAUUUGAUUUGCAUAUGUGACUAAUUGAAUAUGAAAUUUCAUGAUUCUUACUUGCUAUUAUUUUGGUACCUCAUUGAGUAUAAGCUCACCCUCUUCCCGUUAUUUUUGUUUUCCUUACAGGGAGCCACACUUUGAAUCGUGAUUUUGAGAAAAGGGUUGAGCUAGUGUAAACGUUCUUUUGUUAGCUCUUGUGUAAUCAAAACCCUAAUUAUUUUUUAAUUAAGUAUCACGCUUUUAAUUGUAAAGUUUUCAAUAUAUAUAGGUAAGUGUUGUAUCACGUACAUUAAGUGUAUUCAUUUGAGAUGGUACCUUUGUGUUUGUUGAGAUGCUACUGGUAAUCAUGGGACAAUCGGACGAGUGCGGCAUUUGAACCAGGAAAGAAAAUUUUCUGGCGGGAACUGUUCACCAAAUCCGGCCGUAUCUUGGCUGGAUUGUGAUGUGUCCGCUUUCCAUUUGCAUCUUCGUCUUCAUUUUCGUUUCUGUUGAGGUAUUUAGUCGAAGUACCAUGAUACCUUACGGUGUAGAACUCAUGUUUCUCAACUUAGUAGUCUUCGAUUGAUUGUUCUCUUGGGGAUUCGUUUGUGCGCUAUAUCGGGUUUGUGUGAUUUGACUCCGUAGUCCUGGCGAGAGUUGGACAGGUGGUCCGCCGAACCCUUUGGUUCGCCGAACCCUUUAGGUGGGGCUGUCACAUCUUUCAUCUUUAUUGAAUGGAGAAAAAAGAUCUUACUAAUGCUCCUUAUCGUGAUUUUCCCUUCUAAGAAAAUUACUUAGAGAUGGAUUCUUCACAUGUUUGUUGUUGUAAUGGGUUGAUUUUCAUAGUUGUUAAUCACUUACAUUUGUACUUGUGGAACCCAUGUACAAGAAUCUCAAAAAGUUGCUUGAUAUAGGCUUAAAUUUGGGGAUGACUGGUUUCCGUAUCAACUAGGCCAAUUUAGUUUCAGGUAUGAUGAAUUGAAUGACGAUUAUAAAGUAGUUGUAGGCAUUUUUGAUUUCAGUGAGGGCUGUGAUUCUAAGUACUAAGUUUAUAGCAUCAAGGCUAAAUCUUAGAAGAGAACCAUGGAUUUUGAUGGCUACCUGUCCUUAAAUGACGGGAUAUUUGUGAAUGGGAAGCUCUAUUGGGAUUUGGAUCAAGCAGAUAUUCAACUUCUGGUAUCUUUUGAUCUAGCAAUAGAAUCAUUUGGAAUGGUGGAUCAACCAAUUGUUGAUAAUUCAUUCACAAUAUUGGAAGCACUUGAGGGGAACCUUUGCUUGAUUUGUGAAAAUUUUCAUAGCUAUUCAUGAGAAGUAUGGGUUAUAGAGGAAACUUGUGAUAGUAGAGCAUCUUGGAAUAAAAAGUAAGUAUUUCAAAUUAAAUUUUCAACUCAUCUUUAACAAAAGCAGAUGCAUAUCUCCGAAUAGUGAGCUUUUAGGGUUGGAUUGUGGAAUGCUUUGUGUCUACACUCCUAAGGAUCAUUCUAUCAAGCAUUUCAGGGACAUCAAGUGCUCUCUAGGGUGUAUAAUUCUAGGUGAAAGCCUAAUUUUUCGUAACCUUGAAUGAUGCACAAAAGAAGGCUACAAAAUUUAGAGCCAUAGAAACUACGGAUGAGUAUUUGGUAGUUCUCAUGGCUAAUUAUUCAUUUAUUUUUUUUAUUCAUAGCUAAUCGGUUAACUAUCUCCAUAUUUGGUUACUUGGAAAUUAAUUGGACAAACAUUUGGAAUUUCACUUGGAUUUUCUUAUUGUUUCCAUUUAUUACUUUCAUUCUACACCUUUAUAUUGUUGAAGGUGAAUAAGAAACCUGAUAUCCUGAGUAAGAAUGCAUGAUUAGUUCUUCAAUUAAUAUUUUUUUGUUGCAUUAACAGAAAAAGGAAAUCUAGGAGGACAAGCCAUCGUAUUUUUCAUAAUUAUGCUCAAGCGGUUUGCUUAGUUUCUUCAGCAUGCUCAUGUUGAAAAGAGCUGUCAGGCAUGUUAAUAAAUAAUCAUGGAGAAACAAAACAUCUUAACAAAGUACAAAUUCCCAUCCUACUAGUAAACAUAACCAAAACAUUGUUAGAACAAGAAACGGAACAUGAUAUUUGUUCCCUAUCCAUUCCCUCGUAUUCUGCCAGUCUACUAGUCUAUAAGGUCAUCAUGUAUUUAAAAAAAAACAUAGAGAAAGUGAGAGAGAGAGAGAGGAGUGAACUUGUCUAAAAGGUACUGCACAAAUAAGAUAUAUGAAAAUGCAUCCCUUUGAAGGAAUCUCCAAUAAGAAACUAAAACGAUUGAAGAAAUAAAGUCUCACCUCUUGAAUCCAAUUGAAAACAUGAGGGACUACCCAAGUGAUGCAGUAACGGAAGCAUAAGAGAUCAAGGGGUUUCACGAACAACCUUCAAAGGAGAGAUAUUGUACGAACGACAUCUAAUCAUGAAUCACCAAUUCAUGAAAAUGAGAGGAAACUCUCACAAUUGGCAAAAACUAACCAAUGAUGUAUCUUAAUUUGAAGAAAAAUGUCUGAUUACAAAAGCUCUAACUAUUCCUAUUUAUAUGCCACAAUGAAUCCUAUUCUACAAAGAAACAAAUACCAUUAAAAAUCGUAAAUGUACAAAACUAUGUAUUUAACUGCGGGGAUGUGCAACACUCAACAUAGGGCCGGUCAUAGGAACCAAUAUCAUCCGUCCAUUGUUCCCAAUAAUAAUGAAAACAUUAAUAUAACACAUAAAAUUAGUACUAAAACAACUAAUAAAAUAUUAUAACCACCCACAUUAUUCAACCCCUAAUUAACUUUUGGAUAGCUCUAUUAUGAGGACCCAAAAAAUUAUUUUAUAUUUUCUCUUAUUUUUGAAAAAAAUUAAUUUAUAUUUUCUUUUAUUUGACUUUACUUGCCUAUUUACUAGCCCUAAUUUUAUGGUAAUUUUAAAGGUUAAGUUAGAACUUUUCUUUUUCAUAAUUUGGUGCAUGUUAAGUUUCGUAGAGUAUUAUAGUAGUUUGGCCGAUUAGUAAGAUGUACGCAUUAUAUUUGGUGGACGAGAACGAGUGUGGUGCUAGAGGAAUUAUGUGGUUAGAAGUAUUAAGAGUGAAUUUGAGGAACACAAGAUGGAUUGGUUAUGAGAAAUACAAGAGAGAUAAAGAGAUAGGAAUGAAACCAUAAGCCGAUAAGUGUCACUAAUCUAAGCAUGCUUUGACCAAGACUAUUCUUAGUCUUUAUCUUACAAAAUUGAACCAAAAACCUUCACCUUUCUUCUUUCUUAUGGCCGAACCUAAGAGAGAGAGAGAAGAGAGAAAAACUUCCAUUUUUGCUUGAUUUGUGGAAAAAUUCAAAGACCAACCCUAAUCCACUUCGAUAAGCCUUGAGUUAAGCUUGGAGGUGAGCCUUUUGGUAGAGUUAUUUGAGGAAGAAAACUCUUGAGUUGCUUAUCAUCGUAGGGAUUGAGGUAAAUUUUUUAGAUAGAUCUCUUUUUACUUGUUUUCUGAGAUUUAUGCAAGAUAUGUUCUGAUUGAAGUUAAAUAAAGCAUGUUUAUGGUAAUUUCAUGGCUUUGCUAGGGUUUGGUGAAGUUGUUAUUAGGGUUUGGUCAAUUUCCAGCUUUAAUGUUCAAUUUUCAGCUUUGAGAUGAAUUUCCAGCUUUCAUAAGAGAUGUUUUAGCUCUGAUAUGGGGUUUUCUAGCUGCUAUAUACAAUUUUCCAGCUUUAAUGUGAAAUUUCCAGUUUUAGUGGUUAAUUUCCAGCUUUGAUAGGUUAAUUCCAGCCUUGAGAUGCUAUAUCCAGUUUUGUUAUGCCCUUUUAGCUUUUAAUAUGAAAUUUUAAACUUUGAUAUGUGGUUUAUAGUCUUGUUAUGCAAAUUUCCAGUUUUGAGAGGCAAAAUUCCAGCCUUGAUAUAGUUACUUGAAACUUUAUAUAUAUGUGGAAUUGUAAUGGAUUUCUUUGCCAAGAAUCUAUGCCAUAUGCCUCGUGAGGUGUUUACCAUAAUCUAGUGUGUAUUUGUCAUGAAAAUAGGGGUAAAAAUUGUUGGUUUAAAUAGAGAAACUUUGGGGCAAGUUGCUGGAAAAUAUAUGUUUCGUUGGUAGAUUGAGUGAGGGAGAGUUUGACUUUCUAUUUUGUGGUGAUUUUGACAUACUCUUACUCAAGACAUUUGUUAAAACCUUGCUCUUCAUAUGUAUGUUGAUUUUGAGCCAAAAUAAAGAGGUUUAAAGGAACAAAAUGAGUUUUCUCCAAACCAUUUUCUAAUAGGAAUUUUCAAGUCUGCAUGUUGAAGGUUUUGUCUUGUUUUCUUCAAACGUUUGACUAUAAUUGAUACUCUUGUACUCCAUAUGAUUCCUGAAACAUUGAUUUAUGAUGCAUAAGGUUUCCCCUUGAUUUGAAUAAGAAAACGUUGCAUUUUUGAUAAGCUCUAUGGGGUUAAACUUGCAAAUUUCUUUGUUUUCUAAGUGACGCUUUGAAACUCACAUUUUAUCAUUUAUAUUGACUUCAGAUAGUUAGAUUCUUGAUAUAUUAUAUUACCAUAGGAUUUGAGCCUGUCCAAGAGGACGAACCAAGGUUGAAGUGAAACGAUUGUGAUCAAGUGGUGAGUGUUUCUUGCAUGUUUGUGCAAUAAGUGACUAUGUUGACUAUUUGUGACUGAUUGUUUAAGUGUCAAAUGCUUUUCAAUGAUUGUUAAAUGGAUUUCUAAUGGAUAAGUGUGUACUUUAUUACACUCAAUCUAAGUGAAUGUGAAUUUUCAAUGAUCAAAUGAUUGAAUAUUACUUAUGCAUGAAUGUAAACCAUACAUACUUUAUCACAUUGGUUGAAUCGGAUAGAUUGGUGACCUUGGGCCACUGUUUUGAUAUACUCGUGUAUGAUCACGAAGUCAAGUGGAGUACUGGCUAGUAAAUGAAAUCCAAUGAAUGAAAUGACUGACUGAAUAAAAUGAUGACUGUUGGAGUUUUAUUUUCAAAUGUUUUCAAAUGUCGGAGGUAUAAGAAAGAAAUGGAAGGAGACUGAAUGACUGAAUGAGUGAAUGGUUUCAAGUGAGCACGUAUCUUUUUAUUGAAUGUGUUAUUUUUACUUGAAUGCUCUAAGUGUUUCCUUUGAUUGGUUGUUGUUAAAUCUGCUUGAUUGUUUGUUUGGGAACCUCACUGGACUUUUAACUCAUUCUUUUAGUUUAUUUUCCUUACAGGAGUGGAGGUCCGGAGCAAUUAAGUGUGAACUAGUGUGUAUAACCCUCUUGUACUUGUACUUUCGGUAGAUAGAAUGUAUUUUGGCCAUUUGAUGUUGUAUCUUAUGUUUUACCUUUGGGUUGGAAUUAAAUUUGAAUUUUGAAUGAAUUGUAGAACUUAAAUGUUAUUUUAGAGGCUUAAACAGUUAAUUUUGAGAAUUCAAUAAAGUAAAUGUAGUGAGUCUUGACAAGAAUUGGGCAGGUGACUCACCAAACUCUUGGGUACGCCCUAAGGGGAGGUGGAGUCAUCACAGGUGGUAUCAGAGCCAGGUUGAGCUCAUGCGAGAAGAGAGUUCUCGGAUUGUGGGGAUUAACUUGUUAAGUGUGGAAUGAAUAUCUAUUAUUGGAAAAAAUUAAAUAUGUAUGUUGGGUAAGAAUCUCAAAUGUGGUUGAUUUCUUUUUGGGACUAGGCAACUCUAGUGGUGAAUUAUCCUAUUUUCGGAUUCUUGUAUCCGAAUACCAAAGAGUUGAUAGCUUUAUGAUGAGUGUCGAUAUCACAAUUGAAUUUGAGAUAAGUACUGAUGGCAAAAGUUGGCUAAUGCUAAUAAUAGGAUUCAGACUGAGAUAGAGCGUUAAAGGCAAUGCUUAGGAUGCAAGAUGAUAGAAUUCGAGAGUUUGAGAUUUCUAUUCACGAGGAACAAGAACGGACUAAUGCUUUAUGAGAGCAAAUGUAAGAGGUUAACGGACGUCUCGUUCAGGUCGUCAGAGAAGUAAGAGAUAGAACAGAGAAUAUUUUAAUCGAGUGUGGGAUGGUUGUGGAUGAGGUAGUACAAGUGAACGUAGCAGAGAGAGGUCAAGGGAAUGCAGGUCCUAACGAAUCUGAUCUUGAACCUGAAGAAGGGCAACCUGUGCCUGAGGGAGAAAUAGGAUCAGAUGGUUCGACAAUGAACUAAGUUAGAGAAUUGAGAUUGUACGACGUGAGUUUGGAUAUUUGGGAUGACACGUCAUUUUCUUGUUUUGGCAUUAUAUGUAUUUUUGCUAGUGACGUGUUAGUGUUAAUGUUAAUGUAUAUAGUACUUGCUUUUGCCUUAUGUACUUGAUUUUGAUUAGGUUAAUAUGUACAAUAUUUUUUUGACUUGAUGUAUGAAUUUAGUGUGCUAUACAUAGCUGUUAUAGUCGAUUUGUUUUGUUUAUAUACUAUAUAGGUUAUUUUGACAAAAACAAAAAGAAGGGCAUGGAGGGAAGACGAAGUCGUGGAUGUGGGGCUAGACAAUCACAGAAACCAAGGAAUCAAAGAGAAGUAGCGGCUGAACAAGAUCGUGGACCGAUGUUUGAAGUAAGGGACCGAGCAGCGAUGGCUAUACAACAAAUGACCAAUAUAUUAGCACGAUUGAUAGAUCAACAAAAUCAAGCACCUGUUAACCAACCUAGGGACCCUGAAAUAGGAGAGAACUAGGCUCUAGAGUGUUUCUAAAAGUUUUUCCCACCAAAAUUCUUUGGAGGGUCUGACCCGAAAGUAAUUAAAAACUAGUUAGAAACAAUGAUUAAUAUUUUUGCAGCCUUAUAUUAUACGGAAGAAAGGCAAGUGACUUUUGCUGUCUUUCAAUUUGAAGAACCGGUUCGAGCAUGGUGGAAUGUUAUCAGGGUAAAAUAGGAAAGAGAGCAGGUGGCAUGGGAAUGGAUAAACUUCGUAAGAGAGUUUAAUGAGAAUUACCUCCCACAUCUGGUCCAAGAGAAGAGAGAGGAUGAUUUUAUCAGGUUACAUCAGGGAGCUUUAAAUGUAUUUGAGUAUGGAACUCAGUUUACUAAAUUAUCCAAAUUUGCUCCUGAAUUGGUGGUUAUGGAGCAGAGGAGAGUAAGACGGUUCAUACAAGGAUUGAAUGUAGAAUUCCAAGAGGCUCUAGCAGCAGCUCAAAUCAAUACAUUUACGGAAGCUCUUGAGAAAGCUCAGUAGGUUGAGAAUGUGAGAGUGCAAGUAAAGGUUUUUCAAACAUGAAAAAAGGAUGCGCCAAGCAGUAAGUCUAUGGAACCUAGAGACGAUGUAUCAUCUUCCAAAGUUAGAAAAGUGAACCUUCCACUUUACCCACCAAGGACACUAGGAACACUAGAAGAAGGUUCCACAAGAGAAAAUUAGGUAGGAAGAGAGCAGCAAGAGGAAAUUUCUCGAGAAGGCCAAAUAGUGGUUCAUCGUUUGGCUUGUGGAUAUUGUGGGAAGACAAAUCACACUGAGAAUGAAUGCUGGGUGAAGGGGUGAAAGUGCUUGGUUUGUGAGGGUGUUGACCAUCAAAUCAACAACUGCACGAGAAAGCAGCAAAGAUGGUCGAAUGUACAACAAGUGAAUAGGACUACUUCGAGACAGAUCCAAGAGGGAGCAAACUGAUCUAGGGUGCCAACAAGGGUAUAAGCUAUUGAUCAACAACCAGUUCCAGAAUUCCAUGAAUGUUAGAAUUUCGACAACGAAAUUUUCUUAAGGGGAGAUAAUGUGAGGAUCCGAAAAAUUAUUUUAUAUUUUCUCUUAUUUUUGAAAAAAAUUAAUUUAUAUUUUAUUUUAUUUUACUUUACUUGCCUAUUUACUAGCCUUAAUUUUAUGGUAAUUUUAAAGAUUAAGUAAAGAUUUUUUUCUUUUUCCUUUUAUAAUUUGGUGCGUGUUAAGUUUCGUAGAGUAUUAUAGUAGUUUGGCCGAUUAGUAAGAUGUACACAUUAUAUUUAGUGGACGAGAGCAGGUGUGAUGCUAGAGAAAUUAUGUGAUUAGAAGUGUUAAGAGUGAAUUUGAGGAACACAAGGUGGAUUGGUUAUGAGAAACAUACGAGAGACAAAGAGAUAAGAAUGAAACCAUAAGCCGAUUAGUGUCACUAAUCUAAGCAUGCUUUGACCAAGACUAUUCUUAGCCUUUAUCUUGUAAAAUUGAACCAAAAACUUUCACCUUUCUUCUUCCUUAUGGCCGAACCUAAGAGAGAGAGAAAAGAGAGAAAAACUUCCAUUUUUGCUUGAUUUGUGGAAAAUCCAAAGACCAACCCUAAUCCACUCCGAUAAACCUUGGUUUAACUUGGAGGUGAGCCUUUGAUAGAGUUAUUUGAGGAAGAAAACUCUUGAGUUGCUUGUUAUCUUAGGGUUUGAGGUAAAUUUUCUAGAUAACAUCUCUUUUUACUUGUUUCUUGAGAUUUAUGCAAGAGAUGUUCUGACUGAAGUUAAAGGAAGCAUGUUUAUGGUAAUUUCAUGGUUUUGCUAGGGUUUGGUGAAGUUGCUAUUAGGGUUUGGUCAAUUUCCAACUUUAAUGUUGAAUUUUCAGCUUCGAGAUGAAUUUUCAGCUUUCAUAAGAGAUGUUUUAGCUCUGAUAUGGGGUUUUCUAGCUGCUAUAUACAAUUUUCCAGCUUUAAUGUGAAAUUUCCAGCUUUAGUGGUUAAUUUCCAACUUUGAUAGAUUAAUUCCAGCCUUGAGAUGCCAUGUCCAGCUUUGUUAUGCCCUUUUAGCUUUUAAUAUGAAAUUUGAACCUUUGAUAUGUGGUUUAUAGUCCUGGUAUGAAAAUUUCCAGUUUUGAGAGGCAAAAUUCCAGCCUUGAUAUAGUUAUUGAAGCUUUAUAUGUAUGUGGAAUUGUAAUGGAUUUCUCUGCCAAGAAUCUAUGCCAUAUGCCUCGUGAGGUGUUAACCAUGAUCUAGUCUAUAUUUGUCAUGGAAAUAAGGUUCAAAAUUGGAGGUUUAAAUAGAGAAACUUUGGGGCAGGUUGCUGGAGAAUGUUUGUUUGGUUAGUUGAUUGAGUGAGGGAGAGUUUGGGUUUCCAUUUUGUGGUGAUUUGGACAUACUUUUGCUCAAGACAUUUGUUAAAACCUUGCUCUUCAUAUGUAUGUUGAUUUUGAGCCAAAAUAAAGAGCUUUAAAUGGAACGAAAUGAGUUUUCUCCAAACCAUUUUCUAAUCGGAAUUUCCAACUCUGCAUUUCGAAGGUUCUACCUUGUUUUCUUCAAACGUUUGAUUAUAAUCGAUAAUGUUGUACUCCAUAUGAUCCUUGAAACAUUGAUUUAUCAUGCAUAAGGUUUCCUCUUGAUUUGAACAAGAAAAAUUUGGACUUUUGAUAAGCUCUAUGGGGGUUAAACUUGCAAAUUUCUUUGUUUUCUAAGUGACGCUUCGAAACUCACAUUUCAUCAUUUAUAUUGACCUCAGAUAGUUAGAUUCUUGAUAUAUUAUAUUGUCACAGGAUUUGAGCUUGUCCAAUAGAACAAACCAAGGUUGAAGUGAAACAAUUGUGAUCGAGUGGUGAGUGUUCCUUGCAUAUUUGUGCAAUAAGUGACUAUGUUGACUAUUUGUGACUGAUUGUUUGAGUGUUAAAUGUUUUCCAGUGAUUGUUAAAUGGAUUUUUAAUGGGCAAGUUUGUACUUUAUCACACUCAAUCUAAGUGAAUGUGAAUUUUCAAUGAUCAAUGAUUGAAUAUUACUUGUGCAUGAAUAUAAGCCAUGUGUACUUUAUUGCAUAGGUUGAAUUGGGCCCUUGCCCUUCGUCGCUAGCCUAUUUGAGCAAAAAGCGGACUCAGUCGGAUAGGUUGGUGACCCUGGGUCACUGUUUUGGUAUACUCAAGUAUGAUCACGAAACCAAGUGGAGUACUGCUUAGUGAAUGAAAUACAACGAAUGAAAUGACUGACUGAAUAAAAUGAUCACCGUUGGAAUUUUAUUUUCAAAUGUUUUCAAAUGUCGGAGGCAUAAGGAAGAAAUGGAAAGAGACUGAAUGACUGAAUGGCUCCAAAUGAGCACGUAUCCUUUUACUGAAUGUGUUAUUGUUACUUGAAUGCUCUAAGUGUUUUCUUUGAUUGAUUGUUGUUAAAUGUGCUUGAUUGCUUGUUUGGGAACUUCACUGGGUUUUUAUCUCAUUCUUUUAGUUUGUUUCCUUAUAAGAGUGGAGGUCCGGAGCAAUUAAGUGUGAACUAGUGUGUAUAACCCUCUUGUACUUGUACUUUUGGUAGAUAGAAUGUAUGUUGGACAUUUGAUGUCAUAUCUUACGUUUUACCUUUUGGUUGUAAUUAAGUUUGAAUUUUGAAUGAAUUGUAGAACUUAAAUGUUAUUUUGGAGGCUUGAACGGUUAAUUUUGAGAAUUUAAUGAAGUAAAUAUUGUGAGUUCGGGCAAGAGUUGAGCAGGCGGUUCGCCAAACCCUUGGCUAUGCCCUAGGGGGAGGUGGGGUCGUCACAUCUAUAGAUACAAAAUGAUAGAUUGAAUAACGUCACGUAUCCUUGUUCUGUAUUAGACUCCUCCACUUAACAAAACCUCGCCCUCGAGUUCUAGUCUUCUAGAGGGUAUUUCAAUAUAGGUAUAGGAUGACAAGCCGAUGAUUCUUUCAUGAAUUUUGUACGGCCUAAAUAAUAUCUGGAACUUUUGCAUCUAGCCAUGAACACUAGAAAAUCCCAAGAAGAUUUCAAACUCAACAAUUCCAUCUUCUACCUUUGUCAGAACAAGUUGGACGAACUUUCUCUAGAGGAUAUGUUACUCUACCUGCUUGGGCUUUGUGCGAAAAUUAUUAAUAGACAAAAACUUUUCAAAAAAUAACUUUCUCACCAAUAGUAAUAAUAUCUUAGCUCAGGAUACUGAUAGAGACAACAGAUUGGAUAGGAGAUGAAUCUAGCAGUGGAUAGAUGAAGAUUUCAUCAACCUUCAUGCCCACAAAUUCAUCCAAUCCAUCAAGCCUCAUAGUUGUAGAGUCGAGCUCGACUUGGGGUUCAUCAGUUGAGAAAGAUAGGACAAGGUUAGCCUUUUCACCAUCGAGUUCAUAGAUAUAUUCCUAUUCGUCCUCGAUCUCGAGUUUCAAUACUUUUAAAGGUUUAGAUUUUUCCACAACAACUGGUAUUGCAGUUUUGUGAAUUGGAUGUUGUUGUUGAGUGAUCCUAUAUUGACGAUCGUCAUAGAUCUGAUAACUAUGAGAAUUUGAAAAGAAUGCAUGAAUAUUGGAAUUGUAAGGAGUGAAUCUUCCACCUAUGCACCUUUGAUGAACAUAAUCUUAUUGUGUUGCGAGACCUACUGUCGUGCCAUCAUCACCAAUGCCUUGUCAAGGGCAUCUUCAAUGCGAUUGAAACGAUGGUGGAGUGCUCGUAGCACAGUGGAUACUUUAGUAGUUAUCACUGAAGAAGCCUGCUCUAAUAUCAUUUGAUGCAGUAAUGGAAGCAUAGGAGAUGAAGGGGUUUUACUAACACCCUUCCAAGGGGAGACGUUAGAGUGAUCCUAUAUUGACGAUCGUCAUAGAUCUGAUAACUAUGAAAAUUUGAAAAGAAUGCAUGAAUAUUGGAAUUGUAAGGAGUGAAUCUUCCACCUAUGCACCUUUGAUGAACAUAAUCUUAUUGUGUUGCGAGACCUACUGUCGUGCCAUCAUCACCAAUGCCUUGUCAAGGGCAUCUUCAAUGCAAUUGAAACGAUGGUGGAGUGCUCGUAGCACAGUGGAUACUUUAGUAGUUAUCACCGAAGAAGCCUGCUCUAAUAUCAUUUGAUGCAGUAAUGGAAGCAUAGGAGACGAAGGGGUUUUACUAACACCCUUCCAAGGGGAGACGUUACACGAAUAAGACCUAACCAUGAAUUACUAAUUCAUGAAAAAGAGAGGAAACUUUCACAAUUGAUAAAAAAAACAACCAACAAUAUAUUUUAAUUGGAGAAAAAUAUUUGAUUACAAAAGCCCUAACUAUGCCUAUUUAUAGGCUAUAAUGAGUCUUAUUUUAAAAAGGAAGCAAAUAACACUAAAAACCCUAAAUGAACAAAGCUACAUAUUUGGCUACGACGAUGUCUGGUGCCCAACAUAGGGCCAACGUCAUCUGUCAUUAUUCCUAAUAAUAAUGAAAACAAUAAUAAAACACAUAAAAAUAGUACUAAAAUUACAACCCUAACUAACUUUUAGGUAAUUACAUAUAGAACAAUAGGUUGAAUAACCAAGGGUUCCUUGCUCUGUAUCACCAAGAGUUCUUACAAAUGGUGGCUUUGAUACCUCUUGAUAAAAUUGGAGCUUUAUUAUUAUUUGUGAAACUACCUUCUAUGAUGUGGGCUAUACGUUUAACUCUUCAUUUCAAUAGAAUUUACUAAGGGGAAAGAGAAGUGUUUAAGAGUCAAAUCAAAACUGAAUCAUCACCUGGCAAAUGUUCUAAUCAGUGUAAAUUGAGCAUCUAUUGGGAAUUUGUCAAUAAAAAUUUAUGUAAGGGUUGGACAAUGUCACAUUUUUCUUUCCUACUCCCUUAUUUGUGAAUCUUGAUCAAUGUAAUAUUUUUGUGCUCUUUAUAUGUCUGUAAGUUUUGUGCCUUUCUAGAUUUAUUUUUCAUUAAUCGACCUAUAGUUUUCUUUUCUUAUAGUUUCUCUAGUUGAAUAAUUUCUUCAUUUUUCUUUCUUUUCAGUUUAUGGUUAGCAAAUUUGAAAUCCUACAGACAAUUACAUUUCUACACUCUAUUAUUUGGCUUUUUUACCUAAUGCUUUAACAUUUUUGUAAUCCUGUCACUAUAUCUAUAGCUAAUGUUUUGACAAUUUGCAUUUUUCUAUCAUUAUGUCCCAAUAUAUAACAUAUUGCUCAUAAUAUUACAUUUGGAUCGUCUAAUUAAUUGUUCUUUCUUAAAUUUUUUGAGUAGCUAUCAGGUUUUCUCAAGACUCAUUCUCUCUUCCUUCUCUUUAAAACUCCUUUACUAGCUAAUAUCUCAUUCAACUCCCCCAUGGGAGAAAGACUAGACAAUCUAAUCUUUCCCUAUGGGAUGGAGCUCUUUUCUUAGUGUUAUUUCCUUUGUUUGAAUAAAUUAUCCUAGUGAGAGAUUCUUUUCCCCUAGAUUUUUCUUGUGGAAUAUUUAUUCUCUCCUAUGAUAUUCUUGAAAGAAUAUUUUUUUUUCUUCCUUUUUCUAGUUGAUGAGACCAAAUAUUUGGUUGAUGUAAGAAAUCAAAUCUGGAGGCUAGAUCUAAAUUUUUCUUUGGGUUUGAAACAGUUUUUAUUAUAUUUGAUCAUCUAACUAUCUGAAAACAUGGACACGGAAUUGUUAGAUUGCAACAGUGCAGAUAUCUAAAUGAAAUUGUUCUUUUUAUAAAAAAAAAAAUCAUGUUUUCUCUGUUGGGAUCAAUUCUAUUUGUAACUUAUUAUAUGUUAGAGUGGUCUCUUUGUAAGUAUUGACUAUAACGAUCCUAGCCAACUAGGUUUGGGUAGGAGGGAAUGGUUAGGAAGGGGAAUAGGGGAGGGAAGGAGCGCAAUUAAUAAAAAAGUAUUGAUUAUAAUAAGUUCUAUUAGUUUUUUAAAAUUUUUAUUCAUCAAGCAUCAAAAAGUCACCUUUCAAGUUAAUUUUUUAUUUAUUAUUCUUUAAGAAAAUUAAAAACUCUUUUUCCUUUAGCUACCUUUUUUAGAUUUUUUUAUUGUUCAAAAAUAAUUUGUCUAUUCUAUUUUAUUCUAUUCUUUUCAUUUUUGUGAUCCAUCCCUACGAAAAAUUAGUAUCUUUGUUUUUCCAAUAUAUUCCUUUUUCUUAUAAUUAGUCAAUUACAAAUCAAUUACAGUGUGAUUAAUUUAGGAAAUUAAGGUAUAGGGAAAACAUUUGUCCUCUUUCACCAUAAUUAGACCAUUGCAAAUCAAAAACUAUAAAUACAUUCAAAUACCUAAUUUGUAUCGAAGAGAAAUUUAAUUAAUUACAUAUUAGAAGAAUCGCAAAGUAUUCUCUUACAUGUUACUUUACCACCAUUUUUUAGAAUAAGCAAAAUUGAAUAUAGAGUAUGAUUCAAUAUAAAUUAAAUAUCAAUUUGUUCAUGCAUUAACUAUUCUAGAUCCACCUUCAAAUCUUUGUUUUAUAUAUGGUAUCUUUAGAUAUAUAAAAUUUGUUUUUUAUUCUAUUGAAUUAAUAUUUGUUCCAUUCAUUUUGAAAAUAAAAAUUACCUAUGCAAAUUCAUGGGUUUAUAACUAGUAUUAACAUUUUGUUAUGUUACAAAAGUAUGAUAACCCACAAAAUAAGCUAUAAUUAUCUCCACAGAACAUUGAAUUAAUACUAAUAUUUUGUUAACCACAAAUGGCAAGUGUGAGACUUGAAUAUAAACUCUAUUAUUUCUGGAAUCUUAAAAUUUUUUUCUUUUAAAUUUUGUCACUAGAACAAGGCUUCAUUUUAAAAUCAAGAGUUAUAAACUAAUUUGGUCAAUGUUUGUAAACUUUUUAAAGGAAUGCUGCACUUUUGUUAAACAAGUUUGUUUAUUGAGGAGUAUCUUUUCUGUUUUCUUAUUUUGGCACGGUAAGGAGUCAAGUUGAGCUUGAAUACUAGUUUACUCAAGCUCAAGCUUAGAGUAAACUAUUGUGCAUGAGCUUGACGAACUUACAACUUUGAGACUCACGCUGAAUUCAUGUAAAAUUUAAAGAGUUCACGAUCAAGCUCAAAUUUGAACGGUAAGACAUAUAAUUUGUUCAAGAAAUAUAGAUUUUUGGAUAAUUUUUUAUUUAAUACAAACACAUGUAUGGAUACAUACAUGUGUGUGUGUUGUGUAUAUAUAUACAUUAAAUGUAUAUAUUUAUUUAUUUAUUUAUUUUUAUUGGCAUAUCUGAUACAUGAAGAAGAGAUGUUAGCCCUGAAUUUGUUCAUUAAUUUUGGGAAGGCCAAUGAAGCCUUUAUUCCAAACAAAAAAUACAAGUUUGCAAAUAAUUAAAUAAGGUGCACUACUUUUUUAUGGUCUAUUUAUGUAAUUAAGAUUUUAAAAGGCCUUCAUGGUGUUACAGUUUUAUUUUUAUUGUUGCAUUUGAGACCAUUCUCAACACUUGUGGGAGCAAAUUUAUUUUGCUCAUACUCUAUGCUUUACUAUUCAAUCAGCUAGCUAAAAUUUAAGUUUUGUGCGGUUAAGAGUUAUAUUUCAAGAAUUUUGGUGUAAAAGAUCUUGGGGAGCUAGCAUGCCUUUAAUAUAGUAAAAAUAAAGAAUGGCUGGAACUCAUGCUUUGCAUUGAUUAUACCUUCAAAGUUAAAUCUGAAAGUAAAUGUCAAUUAUAUUACAUGGCUAAAGAUAAAUUGGGAUUAAAGGCAAUGCAGUAAAAAUGAUCUUUAAGAACCUCAGGUGGAAUUUAAUACAAUUUGUAAUGAGUGAUCUUUGUAUUAGUUUAUUGUAUAAAAACUGAUAUUACCUACAUAGUAAUUAUAUGGGUGGAUAAAUUUGGUAAAUAUUUGUCUAUGUUUUGUGUAUCUGCUAAUGAAAUAAUAAAGUUUUGAGAAACUAAUCAUCACAUAUUUUCUUUGAGCAUGCUGAAAUAAUUUACAUGGAUAAUUAAGACUAUAGAUACUAGACUUGUGGGUAAUUAAGUUAUUUAAAAUCCUCUAGAAUGGAGGUUAUAUCUGUCUUAUCUUAAUGCUCAAAGGCUCACAUUGAUCUUGGAUAAAUUUGAUGUUUCCACUAUCGUGUUCAUGACAACGUACGAGUCAAAUUUUUUGACUGCUUGUGAUAUGGAUGUUUACAAUUUUUACAGUUAUCUAAAGUAAAGGGAAUGGAUUGAUAAGUAUAAUGCAGUUUACGAACGUACUUACAACGAUUAAAUGUUAAGUAAUUAUUGACCAAGUUGCUUACACUUUAAUGGUUUGGCAAGUAUGUCAAAUGUGUGGUGCUUUUUAUGUGGUCAGUGGGAGUUACAAAUAACUCGUAACUCUUAUGUAUACAAUUUUCAAUUAUGUAGUUUGAUAAAGUUUUCAUUCCCUGAUUUAUGUAGUUAUGAAUAUGAUUUUACUCAUAUACGUGCAUAUUUAAGGAUUAUAUUGCAUACAUGAGCUCAUAUAAGUAUUCAGUAAAUGUUGAAUAGUGAUUGCUUGAUAUGCAAAGUGGCUUUGUGUUAGAGGUUAAGUGGACGAAAUCCUAUACAUGCUUCCUUUGUGAAGCGGCUUCGAUUUAGAAGCACUAAAGGGGCCAUGAAACCCUGUAUAGAGUCGGUUUAAGACUAUAUAGUGGACUAAACGAGGUUUUGAUUUGAUUCUAUUACUCUUGGAUCAUGGGAGUUAAAACCCAUUAUACUUUCAUCACACUAUGGAAUUUGGAUUGAUGAAGUAUUAGUAUUUGUAAUUUUGGAGGUCCUACAUUAAUAAAUAAUGUAAAGACAUCUAUAAUUCGGAACAAUUAUUCUCUUUGUACAAAAUUCUGGAUUAAGAUAUUUUCUUAUAGAGGCCAUAAAAGUCAUUUUCUAAACUUAUUUUGACAUUUACAUUUCAAAUGAUUUCAAACUCAAGUUUGAAACAAUCAGUGUUGCUCAAGUGGAAGAAUCUUAGAAUUCUAUUCUAAUUUGGGGCUUCGCUAAUUAAUUUGGUUUUCUCAAAAAAGGGGUUAAAUUAAAACUAGUAAAACCCACUAUAGCAUGAUCCAUUACAGUUGGGACGUAGGUAUGUUUCAGUCAUCUAGGGCUUGUUAUGAAAAGGAUUAUCUUAAUGCGAGGUUUAGCUAUAGUUAUACAAGGUUUAAUCCCUUUCUCCCAUCUGAACGUUAGCAUCGUAUUGUUAGGGUGGCUCAUUCUAUUGAUGGCCACAAUACAGAACUUGGAGAGGGAGAGGGACUCCCCUAUGUGAGGCACAAAAACGAUAAGGUACCGAUCAAGAUUUUCAAGUGAGGAGGUGAUUUUUGGUUGGUACCUAGACCGACCUGGAUCAGUCCUCUCUGAGAUGAAGUGAGGUGAACUCCUGUGUCCGAAGUGAACCUCGGUGUCCGAAGUGAGUGGCGGGGCUUCUCCCCUGGUAUCACUCCGACGAUCAAGUUAGUAUGAGAACGAGAAUAAUGAGAAUGAGUUAAUGAACAGUGUGCCCACUUGUUGGGAGUGUGUCUGGGGUAUUUAUAGAAGAGAGGUGGUCAAGACGGAAGGCUCAUGCUAGCGGGACCCACUCUCUGGCAUUACUCUGGCAUUACGGCUCUGUCUCCUGUCAGGAGGUCUGACUCUGACACUGUAGCCGCCUAGGAGUGAUGACGGAGGAUAUGGUGCAGGUGCCAUUAAGUGCCUCCAGUGCUUUUCAGAUAAAGUGCUGGUCCUGGAUGAUGUCAGGUGGGUUGACAUCAUCAGCGUGCAGCUGAGGCGGGGGUGCCGAGGUCGGCUACACAGUAUGCUAUGGGAACGGCCGAGCCCGAGCUCAGGGAUGAUGUCCGGGACACGGAUGAACUCCGAUGAGGGACGAGGUGAGUCCACCUCGGCCACUCGGGAUGGCCGAGGUGAGCAUCCUCAAUAAGCCCCCCAAGCCUCGGAUGCUCCGAGCAAGGGAGGUGCCGAGGCUUCCUAGUGCUGAAGUCAUGAAGAGUCGAGGCUCCGAAACCGCUCCGGAAGAUGCGGGGACUCGACACGUGGACGAGUCAGUUGAUAGGACGUGGUCACUGAUAACCGUCGCGUCGUGAAGUAGUGGGACGUUUCGUGCAGAAGGUGUCAGUCGAAAGGACGGGGCAUUAAUGAGGAGAGAGGGAGGCGUGACGUUUUGAAUUCGAUCGUGAUCGUCUUUUCGUAUUCUUGCCGCCUCUUCGGAUUCUGGCUCUCCUCUAUAAAUAGGUGGUCCCUUUCACUGCAUGGCCCAUCACUUUCUUUCUUCGCUUGACUUGCAAAAUUUGUGAGCGUAGCCGAGAUCAAUCCUGCCAGCCGAGAUCACAGCCGAAGUCGUCCACUUCGUCCAGUUCGGUAUACAAUAGUAAGUAUCCCUUUUUCUUCUUGUCUUGUCUUUCACAUAUGGCCAAAACGGCUAAAACCCACAAAGAAACCGUGACCCCGAGCUACCAGACCGAGAUGAGGGCGGAUUCUGAGGAAGAAGCGACGACGUCCAGUUCGGAGGGGUCGGCACAGGGUUCCGAGGAAGGAUCGACCGAAGUGAGAGUCGGCGAGGCAGGCUCGGGAUUGGAAUCGUCCGAGAUGAGCGAGGGUGGUUCCGAGGUCGAGUACAAUACCAAGCUCGGGACCGAGAUACCCCAUGACGAGGGCGUGCCGGAGCCAGUUGCUCCAGUGGACGUAGCCAACAUCAAUUUCGGCCAGAUGCCGAAAUUUAGGAGUCGAGUGGGAAGGGAUAGGGCCGAGAAGGUGGUAAACAAGUACCCCUUCCGGCCGUGGUAUGAAGUUUUGCCGCCCGAGGUGGAUGACACAGCCGCGGAACCCCCCUUCGGCAUGGUGGCCGUCUACAUUCAACAGCUGGAGGCCGGACUGAGGAUGCCGACGUCGAGGUUCCUCCGGGACUUACUUCGUCACUUCCAGGUGAGAAUCACCCAACUCACCCCGAAUGCGAUCCGCAUCAUUGUGGGGUUUGAGAUGCUGUGCCGACAUCAGGAGGUGACUCCCUCCGUCGAUCUCUUCCGCCGAUGCUACACCCUCAAGGCGCACGCGACUGAUAAGGGAUGGUUUUAUGUUGGCAACCGGAACAAUGCCAUCCCGAAGUUGGUGAUCGGUGCUCCCAGCUCGAUCAAGAACUGGAAGCGCGACUACUUUUUCGUGCCCGGAGUGGACUUUCCGAGGGGUUUUUGGUGGAGGCCAAUUAAGGCGAAGGCCGACCCCUCAGCGGGGGAUGCCGAAGAGGAGUCCUUCCAGAAGCUGAUGAAGUCGGGACUUCGGCUAUUCAGCCAUGACUACCCCGAAGCCGUGCUCGUGGAUGGGGGGAUAAGUCGAGCCGUGAUCAAUACUACCAAAGCUCCCUUCUUUUCCACUGAACUUGAGAAGCCUUGUAAUUUUCUUUCAUGACUUUUCUUUUCACUUCGGCUAAGGCAUAUGAUAAUAUUUAUUUCUUGUGCAGUGACUAAACUGUCCGACCUCGUCGUCUCCGGCUCGUCCGAAGUGGCCAAGAGGCAGAAGAGGAAGAGCACUGACGAGACAUCGGCGCCUCCGCCAAAGAAGAAGUCACAAGGACCAGCCGCUAAGACUUCAGCGCCCAAAGGCAUUUCCACCAAGGCUGGCCAGAGCAGCUCGGCCACUACGGCUACUGGGUCCACCUCGUCUGCGCCAGAGGGAGUUCCCCUUGGAGUUGUUAAAAUAGCCACACCUCCUUCUGGCCGAAGCAAGCAGCUGAAGCCUCCGGUUAAUCCGGUGUCGGGGACCUCGCUAUGGAAUCGUUUCCAUAGCCCCCCAGUGUUUUCCGAAGACGAGAAGACGCACUCCGGCAAUCAUUGGUGUCCGAACUGGAAGAUUUCGGUCAACGACAGGUGCCAACACCCUCGGGUCGCUCAAGAGCUAAUAAUGCACUCCAUUCUGCCAAGAGAUUUGGAGUUCAUGAAGAAGCUGAGCCCGGCCGAGCUGGUUCAAAGUCUGAUGGUGACCACGGCUUCCACCUCAGCCUUCGCGGCCGAGAUGGCACACCGAUAUUGUGCUCUGGUCGAUGAGCAGGACACCGGCAAGCUACAGAAUCAGAUCUCCAAGUUGGAGAAACAACUGGCGGUGUCCGAGUCUGAGAAGGCCGAGCUUGAAAGGCGGCUUAAGGAGGCCGAGGUGAAGGAUGAGGAGGCCGUGGCUACUGUCAACAGUCUCAGAUCGGCUCUCGAAGAAGAGCAGAAGAGGGGGGACGAGGCGAAGAAGUCCCACCAGCAAGCCCUUGACAGUGCUGGAGCCUCGGCGGUGGACGAAUUCCGGAGGUCUGAGGCCUUCACCAGGGAUCUCGGCCAACUGCUCACGCCGAACUUCAUGUUUGGCUUCACAUCAGCCAUAGACGAGGCUGCAGCUCAUCUCGCUCCCGAAGCCUUGGAGUCUCUGAAAAAUCAUACCAGUUACAACGAGCACUCCAAGGAGUUGUGCGACCGGAUGGCUGAGGGCCUCCAGGCUGGAAGGGACCUGGCCGAGGUCCAGGCCGAGUUCAACAAAUGGCUGUCCGAAAUCGACGAAGUGUUCGAGGGGGUUGAAGAGGAAGAGACUGGAGAGGAUGCCGGGGGAGACGAAGCCGGAGGGGACGUCGGCAAAGAGCCUGGAGAUGAAAUUCACCCCGGCGGAAAGGAGGCCGAAGAGAUGGAUGCCCAGGAGGGAGCCAAGACCGGGGAUGCAGCCGAUACGGGGGUUUAGGCUUGUAGGCUUCAAGGGGGUGGCCGAGGUGAAGUGUCUAGUAGCACUCCGACUUCGGCCUUGUAUUUUUUGUAAUACUUCUAUUGAAUGAAAGUCUGUUUCUUUUCAUCUCAGCUCUUUAAUUUCUUGUUUCUUGCUUUGACUUCAUCCCUUGCUUGUCCCCCUUAUUUUUUAACUGCGUAAUAACGAUGUUGAAAAAAUAACAUAAUAGCCGAAGUCAUAGCUUGGCAAGAUAACUGGAUAGAGUCAACUUUGAUGAAAUAACCGAAUGGAGUCAUAACUUCAAGCAUAAUACAACCUAAGGUUCUCGGCGUGCCAAAACCUCGGCACUAAUGAGUCAUCUCUGUAGCUCAGUUUACAAUACCCUUUAGGGUCAGAUUCCACAACUCGGUAAGGGCCUUCCCAUUUCGGGCACAGUUUUCCUUGAGGUUCAGCUCGGCUGACUGAAUUUUUUCUGAGAACCAAGUCUCCCGGACGGAAUCUACGAUGUCUGACACGGGCGUUGUAAUAGCGUGCCAGUGUGUUCUUGUAUGAAGCUAUCCGGGCUGAGGCGAGAUCCCUUCGUUCUUCGACGAGGUCGAGGUCCAGCUGCCUCUCUUCGUCGUUCACCUCGGCGGCAUAGGCUGCCAGCCGAGGGCUGGGAGUAAGGAUUUCAGCCGGGAUGACAGCUUCGGCGCCAUAGGUGAGGGAGAAUGGGGUCUCUUGUGUCGCUGACCUCGGCGUGGUCCGAUAUGACCACAAGACACUGGGGAGUUCCUCCACCCAAGAUGACCCAACUUGGUGUAGUCGGGUCUUGAGGCCAUGCAGGAGAGUCCGGUUGAAGUUUUCUGCUUGACCAUUGGCCUGGGGGUGGCCAACCGAAGUGAAGUGUUGCUUGAUGCCGAGAUUCUCGCACCAGGUCUUGAAUGGAUUCUCGGCAAAUUGUCUCCCAUUGUCCGAGAUGAUGAUCUGAGGUAUGCCGAAGCGGCAGACAAUGCACUUCCAAAAGAAUUUUUGAAUGGUCAGCCCCGAGAUGGUCCGAAGUGGCUCGGCCUCGACCCACUUAGUGAAGUAGUCCACAGCAGUCACAAGGAAGGUAUAGCCCCCGACCGCUUUAGGGAAAGGACCUAUGAUAUCUGUCCCCCAUUGCUCGAAUGGCCAAGGUGAAGUGAUGGGAACCAUGAAAUUUGAGGGCUGGUGAUGCUCGGGUGCAUGGACUUGGCAGGAAGGACAGCCGAGGACGAGGUCCUGGGAGUCUUGCCGAAGUGACGGCCAGAAGUAUCCAAGGAGCAUAGUCUUCUUGGCUAACAUCCUGUGGCCGACAUGAGCUCCGCACAGGCCUUCGUGGAUCUCGUGGAGGAUAUGACGUCCGGCCUCGGGAGUGAUACACCUUAGACAGGGGCCGAGGUAAGAGCGUUUGUACAAUUCUCCAUCGCGGAGGGCGUAUCGAGCCGCCUUGCGUUGUAUUCUUCUCGCCUCGGCUCGGUCUUCAGGGAGUGUUCCUUGACCCAAGAAAAGGAUGAACGGGGUCAUCCAGGUAUUUUCGGAGUGCACGGGGCAGGCCACCUCUUCCACAUAUGCGGGUUCAUUCAGAACUUCCACUAAGACCGUCUUGUUGAGGUCAGAGAAUGAAGUGGAGGCCAGCCGGGAUAAGGCGUCGGCUCGCUUAUUCUGGGACCGGGGGAUUCUUUGGAUUUCGAAUGACUUGAAAUAUGCGGUUAGUUGGUGAACCUUGGAGAGGUACCUUCGCAUGGUCUCAUCCUUAGCCUCGUAUUCGCCAAGAGCUUGGCGCACAACAAGUUGGGAGUCACUGCGGACAUGGACUUGCUGGGCGCCGAGCCCUCGGGCCAGCUGGAGUCCAGCAAUUAAGGCCUCGUACUCGGCUUCAUUAUUGGUGGCUGGGAAGCCAAAGCGAAGGGCGUAGGAGCAUACCUCUCCUUGAGGUCCUUCCAGGAGUAGCCCGGCUCCGCAGCCUUCUCCAUUAGAGAAUCCAUCGACAUACAAUGUCCAUGGGGAUGAAGUGGACACUUCAGCUCCGGCGGAGGCGGACUCCGGACCUUCCGUGAAGGUCAGCUCGGCGAGGAAGUCGGCUAAGGCUUGUGCCUUUAUAGCUGUGCGAGGCUCGUAUGUUAAGUCAUACUCUCCCAGCUCGACAGCCCACUUGGUGAGGCGACCAGAAGCUUCGGGUCGCACCAAUAUUUGCCGAAUGGGCUGGUCAGUCCUGACCGAGAUAGGAUGGGCUAAGAAAUAGGGCUUCAACCGCCGAGCGGCAUGGACUAGUCCCAGCACCAGUUUUUCCACCUGAGUGUAUCGAGUCUCCGGCCCGCGAAGAGCUCGGCUGACGUAGUAGACCGGCACUUGGGUGCCCUCAUCUCGGAUGAGCACAGCGCUGACAGCCUCGACGGCUGCAGAGAGGUAGAGGUAGAGCUUCUUCUCGGGCCGAGGUGAAGCGAGAGUGGGCAGAUGGUGCAAGUACUGCUUCAGCUGGUCGAAGGCAGACUGACACUCCUCAGUCCAGGCGAACUGAUCAGACUUCUUCAGCACUUUAAAGAAGGGCAGGGCCUUCUCAGCAGAUUGAGACAAAAAGCGGUUCAGUGCGGCCAGGCGUCCAUUCAGUCUUUGGACUUCUCGGAGGUUCCGAGGUGGGGACAUAUCUUGAAUGGCCUUGACUUUGUCCGGGUUGGCCUCGAUCCCCCGAUGGGAAACCAGAUACCCCAAGAAUUUUCCCGAGGUGACGCCGAAGACGCACUUCUUGGGAUUCAGCUUCAUUCUCGAGUCUCGCAGGACCCCGAAGACUUCCCUCAAGUCUAACAGGAAGGAUGAAGUGGCGAGACUUUUGACGAGGAUGUCAUCCACGUAAGCCUCCACAUUACGGCCGAUCUGAUUCUUGAAGAGUCGGUUGAUCAGCCUUUGGUAGGUCGCCCCGGCGUUCUUUAGCCCAAAUGGCAUGGUGGUGUAGCAAUAAACACCCUGGUCGGUGUAGAACGCCGUCUUCUCUUGGUCCUCUUCACUCAUUCCUAUUUGAUGAUACCCUUUGAAGGCAUCUAGGAAGCAAAGGAUCUCGUACCCCAUCGCCGAGUCGACGAGGGUGUCUAUCCUCGGGAGGGGAUAGCAAUCUUUGGGACAGGCCUUGUUGAGGUCGGUGUAGUCUACACACAUUCUCCAUCCGCCGGUGUCCUUUUUGACCAUGACUGGGUUGGACAACCAGGUCGGAUAUUGGAUUUCGUGGAUCAUCUUGGCCGGCAAGAGCUUGCCGACCUCGUCCGAUAUGGCCUUGCUGCGUUCGGGGCCGAAGUGUCUUCGCUUCUGCCGCACAGGUCGGGCCUGUGGGUUAACGUUAAGUUGGUGAGUCAUAAGCUCGGGUGGCACUCCGACCACUUCAUCUGCGGACCACGCAAAGAUGUCUCGGUGGUCCUUGAUCAGGGAGAUCACUUCUUCUUUCAGGGGUGAAGGGAGUCCGGCCCCUACUUGGACCACUCGGUCAGGCUUGGCUUCAUCCAAGACCACUUGUUCCACUUCAUCCCCUGGCUCAAGCCUGCUGGGCUCUCCUGCCUUGUGAGAGUCGAUGCAGUCUAUGGAGAGGACAGCCGGCCUCUUUUCUUCUGACCUCGGCGGGGGCUGAGGUCCGACUGCGGCUUGGAUGGUGGCGAGAUAGCAUUCUCGGGCGGCGCCCACGUCACUGCUCACCUCAGCCACCCCCUCUGGUGUUGGAAAUUUGAAGCUUAGGUGGUAGGUAGAAUAUACGGCUCUCAAGGCAUUGAGCGUGGGCCGGCCUAUCAGCAUGUUGUAAGGAGAGUCCGCUUUGACCACCGCAAAGCUGACAGGCACAGUUCGGCAACGGGGAUGACGCCCGAUAGUCACCAUUAAAUUCACCAUGCCUUCCGGGUGGACGACGUGUCCCCCGAAGCCGACAAGGGGAGUUCUGACCGGAGUGAGUUGUUCCCGGGUUAGCUUCAAGCUCUCGAAAGUUCGGUAGUACAGGACGUCUACCGAGCUUCCGGGGUCAACGUAGACCUUCUUGACUAUAUAAUUGUUUGUGAGGAUCUCAAUCACGAGGGUCUCGUGAUUGCUGGAGGCAGCGGGGACAGGGUCGCGGGGACCAUAAAUUAUGACCUCGGACAGCCUCGAGCUCGGCUCGGCCACAUCCAUGCCGGCUUGGCGGUAGGUCCGCUUUCGGGAGCUCUGGCUGUCUCCUCCCGUGGGACCACCUGAGAUGGUGUUGAUCACCCCGGCAAUGUUUGGACCAUAGCCUGGUGACCCGUCGCGUGGAGGCCUUUGGUCCCCUUUCUGGUCCUCAGGACCUCGGCAGUUGAACUUGGUGUCCCGCCUGUCUUCUCGGCGAGGACCUCGGCUCUCCCGGUGGGAGGCACUUCGUCCGAAGCUUCCAUCUUUGCGGACAAAUUGUUUCAAGUGUCCUUGCCGAAUUAGAUUUUCGAUCUCUCGUUUCAGAUCGUUGCAGUCUUCGGUCUCGUGCCCAACAUCUCGAUGGUAGGCACAGUAGAGGCUGGAGUUCCUCCUAUCUCUUCUUCCAGGGAUCUCAGGAGGUGUUCGGCCGAGGUGGUUCUGCCUCAUCACAGCCAAGACAUGAGAUCGGCUGGAAUUGAGCGGUGUUAGCUCAGCGUCCGAGGUGGAAGAUCUUCCUUUCACGAUCCGGUCAAAGACACUCCGGCGGUCCCGUGGUGGGUUUGAAGUGCCACUUGGGCCGGGUUCACCUCGGCCGAUGUCUUUCCUUCUCCGGGCAUCUUGUCCCGUACGAGAGGCUUGGGUUUCUCGCUUCAUGCGAUUCACAUCUUCACUUCGGAUUCCCUGGUCCACUCUUUCCCAGAGUUCGUGAAGUGUACGAGGGUAAUCCCGAUGGAUUUCGGUGUUGAAGAGUCCGGCCACCAACCCGUUGGUAAAGGCCGCGAGAGUUACCUGCUCGUUCUGAUCAGGUAUUUGCACAUUCUCCUCGUUGAACCUCUGAGCAUACGAGCGAAGAGACUCGCCCUGACCCUGUUGAAGGUUCAAGAGAUAAGCUGAAGUCUUCGUGAUUGGUCGAGACGACACGAAGCGGUGGAUGAACCGGUCUAUCAGUUCAUCCAGGGAGGAAAUGCUCCCUGGUUCCAAACUCCAGAACCACUUCCGGGCAGUCCCAUGUAGGAAAAUGGGGAAAGCCCGACAAAUCACGGCGUCGGGGACGCAGUAGAGUCGGAAUGCGGAGAUGAAGGCGCGGAGGUGAUCCUCGGGGUCACCUCGGCCGUCAUAGGUGUGCAAGUUUGGAAGCUUGAAGUUCGGGGGCACCCUUUCCCCAUUGAUGUCAUCCGUAAAGGGCGGGGCCCUCAUGUAGUCCGAAGCUAGGCCCCCGGGGCGCCGAGGUGGGUCCUCGGCCCGUUUCCCUAGGAGUCCUCGAGAAAACGCUCGGGAGAUGGAGGCAAUUUUAGAGGUCGCCUUGGAGGAGGCACGCCUGGAGGUACUCCGAGAGAGACGCCCCUCAUCGGAGUCUUCAUCUGAAGGUGCCUCAGGGGACUUCGUCGGCCUCCUCUUGGAAGAUUCGGCCUUUUCUUUCCCCUGUCUUUUGAGAUACCUUCCUAGCUCCUCAAAAAUGGUAGGGUUGUGUGAUACGAACUCGGCCAUCUUGGCGAUGGCCUCCUCGUUGUCAGGCUGGGUCCUCGGGGACCCUUGCUCUUCAGAGAUGCGAUCUUGCUGGGCUCCCGAGGUCUGCCCAACCCCAGUUGAGGGAACUCGACCACUUCUGGAGCGCGUGGAUCUCAUUUUAGUAACAGUAGUCUCGUUCCCACAGACGGCGCCAAUUGAGGAGGUGAUUUUUGGUUGGUACCUAGACCGACCUGGAUCAGUCCUCUCUGAGAUGAAGUGAGGUGAACUCCUGUGUCCGAAGUGAACCUCGGUGUCCGAAGUGAGUGGCGGGGCUUCUCCCCUGGUAUCACUCCGACGAUCAAGUUAGUAUGAGAACGAGAAUAAUGAGAAUGAGUUAAUGAACAGUGUGCCCACUUGUUGGGAGUGUGUCUGGGGUAUUUAUAGAAGAGAGGUGGUCAAGACGGAAGGCUCAUGCUAGCGGGACCCACUCUCUGGCAUUACGGCUCUGUCUCCUGUCAGGAGGUCUGACUCUGACACUGUAGCCGCCUGGGAGUGAUGACGGAGGAUAUGGUGCAGGUGCCAUUAAGUGCCUCCAGUGCUUUUCAGAUAAAGUGCUGGUCCUGGAUGAUGUCAGGUGGGUUGACAUCAUCAGCGUGCAGCUGAGGCGGGGGUGCCGAGGUCGGCUACACAGUAUGCUAUGGGAACGGCCGAGCCCGAGCUCAGGGAUGAUGUCCGGGACACGGAUGAACUCCGAUGAGGGACGAGGUGAGUCCACCUCGGCCACUCGGGAUGGCCGAGGUGAGCAUCCUCAUCAAGCAUCUCUAAUAACACGGUAGUGGAAAUGUAAGAGCAGAAGGGGUUUCAUGAACAUCCUCCCAAUGAGGAAUGUUAUAUGAAUGGAUCCCGAUCACGAAUUAAAGAUUCGUGAAAAAAGAGAGAAAUUCUAAAAAACUGGGCAAUUCCAAUAAAGUCUGAUAAAAGUUGAUAAGAGAAUGAGAUAUUACUUAGGCCCUAUUUGGCAAAUAACUCCCAAUAAAUAUCUGGGUGAAACUUAGGCCUCAUUUGGCGAAUGAGUUUUUUGGGUGUUUGUCUAAAAUUUUACUGUAACUUACUGUAAAAAUUAUAGGAAAAAUUUUUAAAUUAAAAACUUUUUUCUUUUCUUUUUUUUCUUUUUCUUUCUUUCUUCUUUUCUUUCCUUUCUUCUUCAUCUCCCUUCCCCCUCCCUUGUCACCUCCUCCUUCUAGUUGGAACAAGAAUUUUUUUUGCUCUUUUCUCUUUCCCCCUCUUCUCCCUCCCCUCCCCUCUCCCCCCUUUUCCGAUCGGGCAAAGGGGUAAGGGAAGGGUGGUGGGGGAGGGAGAAGGGGGGAGAGAGGUGGCGGGGAAGAGGGGAGGAGAGGGAGAGGAAGAAGAGAGAGAGAGAGAGAAAAAAAAAAGGCGUGGCCUUCGGCGUUGGCCGAGGUGGUGGUGGGUUGAGGUGGAAGGAGAGAGGAGGAAGAAAUUUUUUUUGUGUGUUUUGGAUAUUUUGAAGUAUGUAGUUUAAAAAUUUUGUGGAGUUUUUUAAAAUUAUUGUAGUUAAAGUUGUUAAAAAAUUGGUAGGAAACAAACUUAGCCAAAAAUUCAUUUGCCAAACAGGCCAUUAGUUCUAGGAAUGCUUUGAAAAUCCUUGUUAGAGGGAUAGUGAAAUUCUUGUUAUCCAUUAAUAUCUAAGGUCAUGUUAUUCAAUAAUGGUAAUUGUGAAAAUUUUUUUUCUUUUUGGAUUGAUUUUUAUUCAUAAAUUCAAGCUGUUAUUCAAAUUAUAGUAAUUUAUUGUUGAAUUUGGAUUAUUUAUGUUGAAUUUGGCUAGGUAUAAAGUUAAUUGAAGAUGCAUAAAAGUUUCAUAAAUAAGGCAGCCUGUUUGGACUUUGUUUUCGAUGAGGUGUCGAUUAUGUUUGUGAACUUUAAUGACACAAAGGGCAAGCUACUCCUACUCCUGAUACUUAUUUUGCAUUUGGGGACGAGUCCGGCAUCCCGCGCUGGAGUUGAUACCGGUGUAGUAAAAUAGUAAUCCAAUAUGCAAUUAACGAAUUUCUUAUGUUUAGUUAAGAAGAAAGCGGAAGAAAACAAGAAUAUGAGAACAGAUGGAAAUUAAUGUAAAAGAAAAGCAAAAAAAAAAAAAGGCAAAUUACACUGUAUUUCCUAUAAUUUAGUAUUUUUGUACAUAACCCGCCUAUAGUUUUAAAAGUUAUAUAUAAUCCCCUCAUAAUUUGGAUUAAAGUGUCAAAAUAACGGAAAUAAUCAUUCGUAAAGGAACCUAUAAAAUGUCGAAAUUACCCUUAUUUAAAAACUCAAAUUGUUGAAGUGAUCAACAUAUAUAAAUAUAAUAUGCAUGACACUCUAACCUUGUAUGAUUUUAUAUUUUAUGAUAUAACCUCCUUAUGAUUUAAUGUUUUACUAUAUAUGCAUAAUUUGCUUGUAGUCAAUAAAUAAUUUUCAACUUUAUAUAGGGGCAUUUUUGACAUUUUAAUUGACUCCAUUAUGGAUUACAAAUUUUGUUACUUUGAUAAUUUAAUUCAAAUCAUGAGAAAAUUAUAUAUAAUUUUUAAAAUUAUAGGAAGAUUAUGUACAAAAAAAAAUACUAAACUAUAGGGAGGUAAAAUGUAAUUUACCUGUAUGCAGCGUCCCGCCCCUUUCCUGUCACUGGAUUGGGAGGACUGUAGUAUGAAAGACUGCAAGCAACUGUAAUACGCAUCUCCUUAAUACUACUGCUCCAUCAUUAUUAGCUAGUGUUAUUAUUGACUUGGUAGUAGUAUUCCUGUCACUUGGCUGCAUUAAAUAAGCUUAUUAAUCAACAACCCUGACAGAUUCUUAGACUGUUUAUUCCAACAAUUUGCCGAAUAAUGAUAUUAAUUAAUACUUACUCCAUGAAGUAUGUAACUUAAUCCUCUCAGAUUUUCUGUAAUCACAGCAGUGUUAUUAACAUGUUUUCAUCGAGUGAUAAAAUUUAUUAUGUAUUCUGUGGUUAUUGUUGCAGUAUCUAUCUACAUAUUUGGUCUUUAACAUUUAAUAUUUACGUCCAUUAUAUUCUGUAGUUAUAUUGUUGUAAUGAUUUCCACGAAGACUUCCAAGUCAUCGUGCCUGUUUCAAGCCACCGUGAGCCAUCGUUCCGAACAAUGGAGGUUCUUGCGUGAAUAUGUUUGUAUGGGAGAACGAAUAUGUAUCUAAUGAUACACAGAACAACUGAAAGAAAAAUGCUUAUAAACAAAACCGUAAUCUUCGCACUAUAUAACAUAGGUUUUGCUGAAGAACAGACAGAAAUUCAAGGUCAACCGCGCACGAUUGAGCUUCAUGCGACAAUCUUAUUUUACUUGGGCAUGGAUAACCAACCCAUUGUUUAUUUAUUUAUCAUUUUCGCCUCCUUCAGUAGAUAGCGACCGAGAGGAACUGAUCAGACAGCACGAGCAUAGGACCGUAGCAGGGACUUGAAAGUUACCCCGUGACCAAAGUAGGGGUAAACCGUGAUGCCUCCAUAAACAGGAGAGUUCUGCAGAUAGGGAAGAACAUCAUAAACUAGCUCAUUAGGUGGGAUGUAACCGCCCUCAGAUGCGAUAGAAGAGCUUAUUGGUAUUCCCAGGUACAAUUUAUGAACGCCUGGAUAAUCAGACCAACUGUCCCAGCUCCGGAAGAGGAGACUGGUAUCGUUUGGAGGCAGAAACUCACAAGAUGGGUUGUCGAAAAAUUCCACCCGCACCUGAUCAACGACUCCAGUUCUGAUAGUUGGGUCAAGAAAAAGGUUAGGAAUAGGACAUUCCCCCGCUACAGCUAAGGUUACAUUUGGGUAUCCCUUAAGUGCCAGAGCAAGAACAUCCAAGUAAUUCGGGUUUCCGCUGUGGAUGUGAAGCUCUACGCCAUCUAAAACAGCUGUGCCGAAUGGACGGUCGCUUGAUUCACCGCCUAAGUAAGUGUUCCAGACAUAGGCUGCCACUUCUUGCGCAUCUUCGACGGAAGAAAGAUUCGAUGGUCCUGCGAGAGAAAUAAACACUUUGGUCUGAUUAUUCUGGCAAGAUUCUAUGUCUGCUGCGCUCGGCCAAGGAUGAAUUACGUUCAAUUCAGGCAUGUGGCCGCUACCAAAAUCUUUCAGAAAGGCAAUAUUCACGUCGGUAGCGAAUUCUCGCCUGCAGAACUCAGCCAAACUUGAUGGUUCUGAAUGGCCUCGGCCCCAGUAUUGGACAAUUCCGGCAGCUUCGGAGGACCCAAUCAGAGAAGCAAUCAACAACAGGAAUGUUAUUGCUGAGAACAGUGGUUGCAAAGAGGCAGCCAUUUUUUUUUCUUUCUUUUCAGUGAUUUUUGGAGCUUUGCUUUGGUGAGUUCACUUGCACAAAUGACUGACCAUUUUAUAGUUGAGUUUAUCUCAAGUGGAUGUUCAGCAUCUAGAAUAUCCAAACAUCCGUACACGAAAACGUGAAUGGCAUGACUUCUCAUUUCUGCGCUCAAAAACGUGAAUGGUAUUAUUUAAUUAUGUUUAAGUUGUCAAGAUUUUCCCACUCAAUCCUUCAUUCAACAGCUGUGAUGGUGCUGUGACGCGCGGUCUUAAGCAAGAAAUUUUUUUUUUCCUCGACCUCAAUGUGAAUGUGACUCACAUAUAUAAAUAAUCUCAUAGCAAAAUAUGUUCUUACUGAUCACAGAAGUGAAGCUUGUGCACAGGAAUGUAUAGAAUCCAGUUGCAUGCAACUAAUCACUGUUUAAGCAUACGAAUUAACCAUCACGAGCUAAGACGCAGAGGCAAGCCAAACUCCAAAGCCAAUUCCCAGUUGGCUCUAGUUAAAGGGAUCUUCCUCUAACCUGUCGUCACUUCCUUUACAGAAGCCAAGACAGCAGAAACUAUGUCCACAGCCGAGAUAUGUCUCUGCUGAAACAUAGACAAAUUCCUUGCUGUCCAUAGCCACAACAUUGAAAGCCAAUCCCCAGACCUGAUCAGCAAAAUAGUUUUGAGUGGCAGUCCAGGUGCAAAUGCAACCGCGUUGUGAUACAACAUUGAAGGCUCAAAACAUUAAGGUUGAGAGUUCAACAAUUAACCCUUUUUGUUUCUUAAAUUCCACCCUUCAAUCCUACGUCAUUGAAGGCUCAAUAGGCUCAAAACAUAUUGAGCCUUCAACUACUCAUCCUAUUUUUCUAGAUUUUUAAUUUUUUUUUUCAAAAAUUGAUUCAUGUCUUCGGUUUGGAUUCACCAUAAUGUCAUGCAUUGCUUUGUUGCUUUUAAUUCCUUAAUUUUAACGUAGCCCCAGACAUGGCAUAUAAUAGUCACUCUCUUAAUAAAUGCAAUUAAUUAAUCAUACCAAACAUAAGGUUGGGAUUAGGUAUUGUAGCAUACCUUAGUUUUAUUUUGUUCCCUAUUUUACUUAGGCCUUGUUUGGAUUGCAUUUUUCUGAAUUUUUUGUAGAAAAAUUACUGUAGUAAUUUAAUAUAUGUGAAAUAAAAAAGUGAUAGGGAACUAUGGUCACAGAAAACGUAGCAAUUUUUCUGAAGAAAAUCGCUGUCCAAACAGAUCCUUAGUUUCAAACAUGCCCUACAAUGUUCAACCCUAUAAUAAUGCAAUUAAAUAAAUAUACCAAAAAUAUUUAUACAUAGUUGAAACUAAAAAUAAUUGUAUCCAUAAUAAUCAAUAUAAAAAAUUGACUAAAAUACAAUCUUUGACUAACAUAAACUAAUAAUUUAAGUUCUUGUCCUCCAAAGAAAUAACAAUAUUCCAAAUCACACAAGCUGAACAGCUUAGCAAAUUAGCAAAACUGACUAACAAACACAACACAAAAUUACGAAAUAUUCAACAAUUUUGUAUUCUUUUCCUAACUAAAAUUUACAAAUCAUACCCGAAAAAAGGGAACUAAUCUAAGUUCCUAUCCUCCAAAGAUAUAACAAGAUUCCAAAUCAUAUAGUUAAACAAUUUACCGCAUUAGCAAAAUUGACUGAAAAAAAUACAAAAAGAGAACAACAAAAAUUUCAAUAUUUUUUGUAUUGCUUUCCUAAGUAAAAUUUACAAAUCAUACCCAGAAUAAAAAAAUGAAAUAUACUUAUCAGAUACUUCAAUUUUUGGAAUCACCAUGCACAGAAAAUAAAAAAUAGCUCUAAAUUUCAGCCCAGACCUAGAUCUAAAAUUGGACCUGAAUUAUAUAUAAUCGGAUGUUAUUCAUGCUAUUAGAAUUGUUAGAUUUUGUUAGAGCAUAAAAAAGAAAUAUAAUAUUUUUACCUAUUCUUUUGUUGAGCAAUUAGAAUCAAAAUUAUAUCAUCGUUAUGACUAAAGAAAUGGAGAAGGAUAUUUUCCAACUACUUAAAGUUUUUAUUUAAACUAAAGACAAAUUAAAACUACGAAAAUCAGUUUAGAAAGGAUAAUAUGAAAAUAAUGCACAAAAUUUGGCUCCAAAGAUGCAGCAUCUACAGAAGGGACGAUUUGCAUUCAGGGGUUGCGGGGAUAUGGAAAAGUAGCAUGGAACGGGGUUGUUGCAAGGUGGAGUAUGAGGACAAGUUAAUUUUUCACAAAAUUAAUUACAUCAUCAAGUAAUAAAAAUUUAAAUAAAUAAUUUCAAACCAAAUCUAAAAUAAAUUAAACACCAUAAAAGUGUUUUAUCCUAAACCAAAUAUAAAAUAAAUUAAAACAGCAUAAAAGUAAAAAAUAACAUAAUAUAUUAUUUGUCCAAAUAUAAUAAUUUUAACUUCACACAAGUUAAAUAAAUUCAUUUAGGAUUAAGUAAUUAAUACCUUUGGAAAAAAAGAAUGAUUUAGUUUAGUUAGAUAAAAUAAUUUUAAUGUUUAUUAAAUUAGUUUUAAUUCGUAAAUGGGUCACAUCGGGUCAUAUCAGGUCACCACGGGUUGACCCGAAAUUGACCUGUUUUCUUUUCGGGUUCAUCGGGUUCGACCCGAUUCUAACCCGAACUCCCGAAACCUCAACCCAAACCCAUUAAUUUCGUGUUAGGAUCGUGUCGUGUUUUCGGAUCGUGUCAGGAAUUGCCACCCCUAAGGACAAGGGAAGAAGGAAGCAGGAAGCUGACAAGGCAGGGAUUGUCGGAAAAGUUAAAGGAAGCCAAGGCUGUUUGGACAGUAAUUUUUCAAAGAAAAAUUAUUACUUUUUUCGUGAACAUAUUUUCUUAUCAUCUUUUUAUCUAAUAUAUGUCAAAUCGUUAUAAUAAUUUUUUUACAAAAAAUUCAGAAAAAUACAAUUCAAACAAGGCCUACAUUUACGCAAUGAUACUAAACUACUUAAAGUUUGAACUUCCAAACUAAUUACUUAGAAUAUAGGUUGAAAAAAGAAAAGUCAGACAUUUAUGGGUCUGAAAGGAGUGUGUAUAAAUCUAUGGGUGCCGGGCAGCCCGGCACCUGACACAAACCUUUUUUUUUUUUUUCUCUAAAAAGAUGGCAGGUGCCGGGCUGUGUCUACCCGGCACCUGACACAAAAUAUUUUUCCCCAAAAUUGAACAACUGAAAUGGCCUCCCAAAAAAAUGAGCUUUUGACCAUAAGGGAUUACUUGAAUAAUAUCACUUCUUUGGCGUUUUAUUUGAAUAAUUUUUAUAUUAUGUUAGUUAAUUGGUGAUAAAUAUUUUAUGUUGUUGUUAUAUUAUGUUAUUAAUAUUUUUUAUUAAAUAAAUAUUUAAUUUAUUGUAAAAUAGUUGUAUACAAAUAUGUAAUUUACUUUUUAGGUAAGUUAGCUAAUAUUAGUUUAAUAACACGAUACAUGCUUAAUUGAAUUAGUUUAGUGAUAGAAUUACUUUAAGUAGUUUAAUUAGUUGUUUAAAUUUGUUUAAUGGAUUAAUUUAAAGAGACUAAUUAAAUGAAUGUAGAUGUAAUUUAUGUAGUAUUGAAUUAUGAUUAUGAAAACUUGUUAAUUAGUUCGGGUUAUUUAAGUAAUUGAAAGAAUUGGCAUAUUUAAUAAAUUCAAUACAUAAAAUUGAUGUAUUUAGCAUAACAUAAUUAACGAUAUUAGUGUUAUUAGUUUAAUGCAAUUCACUUUAUUAUGCAAAUUAGUUGAUAAUUAGUUCAUGUUAUUUAGUAUAUGAUUAGUUUAAUUAGUUUAGUGGAUUAAUUAGUUUAAUUUAUUGUGGAAUUAAUUAAUUUUAAGAGGUUCGAUUAAAUGAAUUUAGAUGUAUCUGGCGAGGUUAAUUAAUUGAAUGAAUUUUUGUAUUGAGUUUUGAUUAAGAUAGCCAUUUAGUCAAGGCAAUUUAAGUAUUUGAAAUAAUACCCAUGCUAAUAAAAUAAAUACAUAAAAUUAAUGUAAUUAGCAUAGCUUAAUUUCGACACUAGUGAUAUUAGUUUAAUGUAAUUCACUUUAUUUGUUAAGUUAGUUGAUAAUUAGUUUAUGUUAUUUAGUAUAUGAAUAGUUUAAUUAGUUUAGUGGAUUAAUUCGUUUAAUUAAUUGAAUGAAUUAAUUUUAAGAGGUUAGAUUAAAUGCAUUUAAUUAAGGUGCUGAAUUAGGUUUAAUUUGUUAUUUAUUAAAUAUUCAUUAAUUUAUUAUACAUGAUUUAAUUAUUUAAUUAUAAUACAUUAUUUGAUGUUAUUUGUUAUUAUUUGUUGUUAUUUAAUAGACCUUGAGAAAUUUCUUUACGAAACUCCAUGGCUGCGUAAUAGUUAAGUGCAUAUAGGGAUAUUUAGAAGAAUAAAGCGCCAAAGAAGUGAUAUUAUUCAAGUAAUCCCUUAUGGUCAAAAGCUUAUUUUUUUGGGAGGCUAUUUCAGUUGUGCAACUUUGGGGAGAAAUAUUUUGUGUCAGGUGCCGGGCUGUGUCUGCCCGGCACCCAUGGGUCUUUUUAAAAAAAAAAUUUGGGUGUCAGGUGCCGGGUUGUGUCUGCCCUGCACCUAUAGAUUUAUACACGCCCUCUGUCAGACUCAUAAAUGUCUGACUUUUUUUUUUUCAACCUAUAUUCUAAGUAAUUAGCCGAACUUCCAAUUGAAAUUAAGAAUAAGGAUGUUUGUUAAACAAAAAUUAUAUUAAAAACUAGUUUUGGGUGGGAGUGUUUUUCAAAAACUAGUUUUUCAAAUACAAUAAAAAUUUUUAAAAAGUAUUUUGAAAGGUAAUCUAAAAAUUAGUUUAAAUUUUUCUAAAAUUUUAAAAAUAUUCCAAAAUAUAUUCUAGAAACUCUUAUACUCUUAAAUAUCCCAUAAUAUUUUCUAAAAAUAUUCCAAAAUAUACUCUAAAAACUCUGUUACAGUAAAAUUUUUUAAAAAUACCCUUAAAACAGCUAAUCUAAAAGUAUGAAAAUUAGUUUAGGAACGACAAUUCACAAAUGUUACACAGAGUGUGGCUCCAUUUUGAUGGGUUACUUUUAGGAUGCUUUUAGAAAACUUUCAUAAUAGGAAUAUUCUUUUAAAAUCUUUAUGUGUAGUAUUUUUGGGGUCCAUUGAAAAUUUUUGGCAUGUUAUGUUUUCAUUGUUGGCAUUGAAUACAUUUAAAAAUGGCCGGUAAGCAAUAAAAUGAGUCUCGGCAAUAGCGAAAGAUAGUUGGUGAUGGGUCCACCGCAAGGUUGUGCGUUUUAGGCUAGUAGGAAGGCGGUGGAGUGUAGGUGGCAAUUGGCAAAGAUUUAAGAUGACUAAAUUUAUUUAACAAUAUUAAAUUUACUUUGGAUUAAUCUUAUAUAUAUUAUCACUAUUAGAUAUAUGACACAUGAGUAAAAAUUCAAUAUUAUCACUAAUUAGAUUUUUUUCUCAUUAGAUAUAUGACACAUUAGGUAUUUUUACAUUUUUACUCAUUAGAUAUAUGACACAUUAGAUAUUUUUACUCAUGUGUCAUAUAUCUAAUGGUGAUAGUAUAUAUAUGCUGACAGUGUAUAUAAAAUUUAUUUAUUUACUUUAUAGAAAUAUCAGAUUUACAUUUUAUUAUCAUUUUAUGAGAUUAAAUUUACUUAACAAUAAAAUUUAGUUAACAAUAUUAGUUUCAUAUUUCUAUUUUUUACCUGUUAAAUUUACUUAAUAAUAUUGAUGUAACAAUAUUGUAUUUGUUUGGAUAAAAUAUUAUUUGAAAUAAUUAUUGUAACAUUUUUAUGAUAUAAUAUAUGUGAGAUAAAAAUGUGGUUAAAACUAUAAAAAUGUAGGUUGAAAAAGGUAGGUGAUAUCUUAUCACAAACACAAGAUUUUAUUGUUUAUGGACAUAUAGAUAGACAUGAAAUUGUCCUCAAUAAUAAAAAAAAAUUUAAGUACAAUUAUGCGUUUGAAGAUGAUCUGGCUCUUUCUGGCUUUACAUAUAAAGGGCAGCUUUUGAUUGAUCAAUUUUUGAAUCGCGCGCGUCUCCAUCGCAACGGUUCACCAUCUGUAAUUAUUUGGACAUCGGGGCGUACAGACGUGGAUUGGUUUGACAGAGUCUGGGAUUUAAAUGUCAAUUGUGCAAUAGGGAUCUCAGCAUUUUACGGCCAGCUCAGCUGCUAAGGAAUGAACGGUUCUUGUAGCUGGGAGCAGGAUAUGCUCCCCAAGGAGAUUUUCUCAAAAGGAAUAUCUCUUAAUUUUUCAUGGUGGAUACAAGCUUCUUUCGGCUUCCCUCCUGUCUGUCUAGUACAGGAGAGAAUAGAUUAUACAACAGUUAUCGUCUUGAAAAAAAAAUUUUAAAACUUCUAUUAUCCAGUUGGCCCAACCAAUUGGUCGUCGAAUUUUUUUCCACACAACUUAAUCAUUCAGAUAUUUUUAAUGAAUGGGAUAUCUUAAAAUAGUCAAGUCGAGUUACUGGAGGUACUUUUUUUUUUUUUUUUUUCUUUUUAACGUCAAAGUUUUAAUCCUGUUGCAUAUUUCGAUUUUAGUGCAUGUUUAUCUAUCAUUAAGAUAAUGAUUCACAUCAAUCAUGCUGCUUGACGAUUUUCAGCACUUUUGAUUGCCCUAUCUGUGUUGGAUAUGCUCAAAUUAUAAUUGAUGGACUUUAGGUGAGAGCGGGAUAUGCCUCCCAUGGAGAUUUCUCAAAAGGAAUAUCUCUCAAUUUUCGUGGCGGAUUGAAAAGGAAUGCUCAAACAUGUUACUUCUUCUUCCCCUUUUUUUUUGGCCUUUUUGAUGUGCAAAUUUUAAUUGUGUCGCAUAUUUCGAUUUUAAUGCUUGUUUUAUCUGACAUUAAAAGAGCAACGAUGUAUAUCAAUCGUGAUAUUGGACGAUUUUUAGCACUCUUGAUUGGCCUAUCUGUGUAGCAUAUGCUGACCAAAUGAUAAUUGAUGGAAUUUAGAUCCGAUCAGGAAUUACUCCGCAGAAAGGAGUGCACCUAGAUCCACGCAAGUAUUGUAAAGAGUUCUGGGAAACAACUGUAAUGGAGAACAAUUGGCUGGAGAGCAAUUGCAAGGUCAUUCGCUUAGCAAAAAGUAUGUGGAUCCUACUCCGUACGUUUUGUCGGCUUAUUCUUGGAAAUGGACUAUUCUAACCGGUUCUCACCCGAGUGGUCCAUUCCAGUGAUUCUGACAUCAUUCGACACAGUUUGUGGGAAAACUAUUUUAAGUGGUUGUCUUUUUAUCAACAAUUUUCUAUAGACAUCUAGAAAAUCAUAGAUAAAUGAUUCCUUCAUCUGAACUCUCUUUUUUUUUCUUUUUUUUUUUGUCGACACAGGGAUGUCCGGGUCAAUCCUUACAGGGCCCGAUUAAUCUCCUGCGAUCCGGGUUUAGCGCCCCAACCCGACCCUAGCACGAUAAGUGCGCGGAGAAAUCCAGCAGAGUAGAGACUCGAUCUCGGGACCUUAGGGGUCACUAGUGGAAGGUGCUACCGUUGGACCAUUCACGCGGGGCAUGCCUGCAUCUGAACUCGCUUUUGUGGAAAUUAUUCGUGUCACGUGACUGCAAUGGAUAAGCUUAUUAUCAACUGCCACUUGCACUAAAUGCUGUUAUGUAGUUGUUACGGUCCAGAACCAGGAAUUUUUGCAGGAAAUGGAAAUGAACUUCAGGAAAUGAUUCAAUAACUCACAAAUUCAGAUGAACUCAAACAAACAAUUCCAUUGCAUUAAUGAAUCUCAAAAUUUAGUUACAGAAACAGGAUUGGCGGGAAAAGAGGAGAAGGGGAAAGAGACCGAAGGAAAACAAACAAUUCCAUUGCAUUAAUGAAUCUCAAAAUUCAGUUACAGAAACAGGGUUGGCGGGAAAAGAGGAGAAGGGGAAAGAGACCGAAGGAAAACUUGAAGAAGAAGAAAAAAAGACAGAGAGGAUAUUCCUUCUCUGAUUACAAUAACAAAUUUCUCAAAAAGCUAAUGACAAUUGCAUGAUCCUCUCGUUUUAUACUGUUGCUACUCUAACUAACUUCCUCCAAGAGCGAAUGAGCGUCUAACACAUGUCCGAGGGGAUCUUUUAGCUAGACUGGUCCCCAGCAUCAGCAAAAACAACGUGAACCUAGCAAAGGCGUGGUUUCUUGAUCACGCCUUCUCUUGUUAUCCUCCUGCAACUUCCACGCCUUUCCACGCCUUCCUUUCUUCUUCCUUCACGCCUUCCUUCCUUUUCUUGUACAGCUAUUUCCUGACUUCAUUACAACACUCCUCUCUUGGAAGCAAUCUUGUCCUCAAGAUUGAAACUGGGGAAUUGUCUUUCGAUUUCUUCAGCAUAUUCCCAUGUGGCUUCUACAGGGUCUGUGCCCCACCAAUGAAUCAACCAUUGAACUACAACAACAUUUCUUCUUUUAACUAUUCUUCUAUCAAGCACAGCUACUGGCUCCACUUUCUAGUGACCCCUUUCGUCUAUUUCUGGCAGCUGGAGUGUAGGUGUGACCUUGUCUCCGAUCUUCUUCUUAAGUAGGGACAUGUGGAAAACAGGAUGCACCUUUGAGGUGGUAGGCAGCUUUAGUCUGUAAGCUACGUUACCAGUCUUCUCUUCUACCUUAUAGGGGCCAAAGUAUUUAGCUGAGAGUUUGGUGUAUCCCCUUAGGGCUAAUGAGCUCUGUCUAUACGGUUGUAGUCUCAGAUACAUCCAAUCUCCUUCACAGAAUACCCUCUCACUCCUCUUUUCAUCUACAUACUUCUUCACCCUCUCUUGAGCUAGCUUCAAGUUCUGCUUCAACGUGUUGUCCAUAUGUAGCCUUUCUCUGAUGUAAUCUCCAACUAUAGCCACUCUGGUCUGUAGGUAAGGUCCCAUAGCUAGCUAAGGGGGGGACAUGCCAUACAAAGCCUUGAAUGGGGUCAUUUGAAUGGCUGUGUGACGUGUGGUGUUGUAGCACCAUUCUGCCAAGGAUAGCCACUGGUUCCAUCCCUUAGGCUCCAGAUGAGUCAGGCAUUUGAGCUACAUUUCUAGCACCUGGUUAACUCUCUCAGUCUGUCCAUUAGUUUGGAGGUGGUAGGUUGUGCUGUAAUCUAGUUUAGCUCCCAACAUAGUGAAUAGUUCUCCUUAGAAUUGGCUGACAAAUAUCCUAUCUCUGUCUGGUAGCAUGCUUUGGGGUAUCCCAUGUAGCUUACUGACAUGAUCAAUGAAGAGUCUAGCUACCUUUGGGGCAUCAAAAGGAUGUGCCAUAUUGAUGACAUGGGCAUAUUUGGUAAAUCUGUCUACAACUACCAUUAUAGUGUCUUUCCCUUCUGAUUUUGGUAACCCCUCAAUGAAGUCCAUGGUGACAUGGCUCCAUGAAUGCUGUGGGAUAGGGAGAGGUUGUAGCAAUCUUGGGUAGGCCACAUGCUUAUCCUUACACUUUCUACAGAUGUCACAUUCCAGGACUAACUUCUUGAUUUCUUUGUAUAUUCCUGGCCAAUAAAAUAGUUGUUUAGCUCUCAUGAAGCUGGCCUAAAUGCCUAAAUGCCCCCCUAUUUGAGAGUCAUGCAAAGCAGUGAUGAGUUUCUUUCUUAUGUCUCCCUGUCCUCCUCCCACCACCAGUCUCUUCUUGUACCUGAGAACUCCUUCAUGAUAGGAGUAGUCUGGUACUUGGGUAGGAGUCAAUAACACUUGGGUUAUGGUUUCUUGAACCUAUUCAUCCUCCUUAUAGCUCUCAAUCACUUCUCUGAUCCAACUAGGCACUGCACAUGAAAUGGCUGUGCAAUCUCUUGUUUCCUCCCUGCCGUAUCUGGAGAGGGCAUUAGCUACCACAUUGUCCUUCCCUUUCUUGUAGUGAAUUUCAUAGCUUAGUCCCAGUAGCUUGGUGAGCCACUUCUGUUGGAGAGGGGUAGUGAUCCUUUGUUCCAACAAAUAUUUUAAACUUUGAUGAUCAGUGUGUAUGAUGAAGUGGUGCCCCUCCAAGUAGUGUCUCCAUUUGGUCACAGCAGUCACCAAUGCCAGUAGCUCCUUCUCAUAUAUGGACAGCCCCAUAUUCUUUUGCCCAAGGCCUAAAUGAAAUAGGAUAUAGGCCUCCUGUUUUGCAUC